RNAcentral lists this long non-coding RNA (66176 nucleotides) under Capsicum annuum. RNAcentral's name for it is "long non-coding RNA (CANN_LNC015501)". The record is from RNAcentral. Lineage: Eukaryota; Viridiplantae; Streptophyta; Magnoliopsida; Solanales; Solanaceae.
CCCAAAACUAGAAGAUGAUCUUGGUGUGUGAAUAGUGAAAACAAGAGAAAAAAAUAUUUUUCUCUCUCUUCCAAGCUAAACCGCCCUUCUCCUCUUCAAAAACUAAUGCAGAAUAACGAAUUAUGAUUAAAAGAUUCAGCAUCAAGUUUUUUUAAUAAUCUUUUCUCUCAUAAUUUCCUUCUAAGUCCCUGAACUAAUUAUAAAUGACAAAUUAGUCUUGGACAUAGUUUCUAGAUGCCACAUUUGGUCCAGACUGCUACUCUCUCUUGUGUCAUAUGCCAUCCGCAUUCCAUAGUCCCAUUAUGUCUCCAUCUACAUCAUUAAUACCUGAAAUCACUCUAAUCACAUUGGUUAGCUCAAUCACAUAGAAGUAGAGUAAAAACAUAAGAAACUAGGCACUUUGUUCUCCAAACUUAGCUAAAAUAUAGGUAAGUUAUGGUGCUUAGGCGUGUAAAUACACCCAAGAUCAUCAUACUAUAUGGUUAUGAGUUGAAUUAGCAAUUUUUAAUCUAGGCAAAAAUGAAGAAAACAUGCACUAGUUUAGAUACGAGUCAUAUUUUAUGACUCAUAACAUCUCAUUACAACUUAUAGCAAUCUUUCGUAUCUUGGAUAGAAACUUAGAGAACCAACACUGCUAACCAUAUGAACCUCACUCUACACCUUGUAACAUGAAGUGAUGACUCUUAGGGUUGAGUCAUCAAGUGACCUGAAAAAUUUAAUCAUUCCAUACUUUCUUGGUUACGAUACAGCAUAUGACUCUUAAGGAGUCUUAACGACUUGACAAAUAAGUGUACGUUCUAUAGAGACUUGAAAUCUAGGGGUAUAACAAUAUCUCCCUUUUGAAAACAUUCAUCCUCGAAUGUGAAUCAACUUAGAUAGGGAUUUUGGAACAUAAUCGACUCCUCCUCACUAAUCUUACAAUCAAGCUUAUAACUUAUCACUAGGAUUCCAAGGUCCAUGAACGCAAGUUACGACCUAAGAAUACUUGAAUAGAAUUACUAGAGAAAGAGUUUGCUGGAAUAAAGGUUUACCUUUGGCAAUAAGAGAAUUGGAAGAGGAAAAAUGAGGAUACUUGGUCAAUAUGUCUGCUUCAGCUUCCCAAGUGGCUUUUUUGACCAACUGAUUUCUCCAAUAAACUUUUACUGACGCUACAUCUUUAUUUGUUAGUCUUCAAACUUGUCAAUCAAGUAUAUCAACAAGAACCUCUUCAUACGACAAGCUAUCCUUGACCCCAAUACUUUCCAAGGGAACUACUAAAGGCGAAUUUCUAAUGCACUUCUUAAGCAUCAAAACUUGGAAAACUGGGUAGAAUGUCCAAUUUAUACACAACCUCUCCAACCCGUUUUACUAUCUCAUAUGGACCAAUUAAUUGGGAACUCAGCUUUCCUUUCUUUCCAAAUAUCAUUAAUCCUUUCAUAGGCGACACCUUAAAAAAUACCCGAUCUUCCACUUCAAACUUGAGCUCUCUUCUCUUUACAUCUGCAUACGAUUUCUGACAGCUCUGAGAUGUCUUUAGUCUUUCACAAAUCAACUGAACCUUUUCCAUAGAUCUAAGAAUAAAGUCUUUCACAAUCAAUAUUUCUUUACCAACCAUGAACCAUCCUAUGGGUGAUCUGCAUUUACGCCCGUACAACGCCUUAAAUGGAGCCAUCCGAAUGCUAGCAUGAUAACUAUUAUUAUAAGAAAACUCAAUCAAAGGUAGAUGAUCAUCCCAACUUCCUUUAAAGUCUAAGACACAUGCUCUAAGAAUGUAUUCCAAUGUCUGAAUUGUGCAUUCGGACUGACCAUCGGUCUGCGGAUAAAAAAUAGUACUAAGCUUCACUUUUGUGCCAAGGCCUUUCUGAAAUGAUUGCCAAAAUUGUGAAGUGAAUUGCGUGCCUCUGUAUGAAAUGAUGGACAAGGGUAUCCCAUGAAGCCUUACUAACUUGUGAAUGUACAUCUUGGCAUAAUUUUCCACUGUAAUCGAAGUCUUAACAGUUAGGAAAUGAGCUGAUUUGGUCAUUCGAUCGACUAUAACCUAAAUUAAAUCAUGCUGACAUCUUGUACGAUGAAAUCCUAUGAUGAAAUCCAUAUUUACUACUUCUCACUUUUAAGUAGGGACACUGGUAUCCUAUAGCAUGCCACCCGGUCUCUGAUGUUGAACAUUAACUUGCUGGAAGUUAGGAUACCUGGCUACAAACUCAACUAUGUCCCUAUUAAUAUGAUUCCAUAAUUAGAUUUCUCGUGAAUUACGGUACAUUUUAUUAGAACCAGGAUGAAUAGAACACUUUGAACUAUGAUAUUUUUCUAGUAUCCUUUCCCUUAACCUAUCUACAUUAGGAACACAAAUCCUACCUUGAUAGCGAAGUACACUAUCACCUCUUGGGAAAAAACCUUGACCUUAUGUCACUGGACUGCUUUUAAUAUUUGGCUAAGUAUAGGAUCAUUACGCUGCUUCUCCUUUACUUCCACUACCAGAGAUGAUUUCGAACUAUUCUGAACCAUUGAUCCCCCAUUAUCCGUGUUAAGCAAACAUACUCCUAAACGGGCCAACCUAUGCACUUCUUUGGCCAACUCUUGUUCUUUCUCUUUCACACAAGGCACACUACCCAUAGAGAGCCUACUCAGUGCAUCUGCCACCAUGUUAGCCUUACCCGGAUGAUAAAGAACAUUCAUGUCAUAAUCUUUCAAUAACUCCAACCACCUUUUUUGAUAAAGAUUUAUCUUCCUUUGAGAAAAUACAUAUUGUAGACUUUUAUGGUCAGUGAAAACAUCAACAUGCAUACCAUACAACUAGUGUCUCCAAAUAUUCAGGGAAAAUAACACAAUAGCUAAAUCCAAAUCAUAAGUUGGGUAGUUCUUUUUGUAAUCCUUAAGUUUCUGGAGGCAUAAGCUAUUACUCUUCCAUUCUGAAUCAACACACAACCUAACCCAACUCUAGAAGCAUCAGAAUAUAUUAUGAAUCCAUCUAACCCCUCUGGCAGAGCUAACGCUGGUGUUGAAGUUAAUCUAUCCAUUAAUUCUUGGAAACUAUUUUCAUACUUAUCUAACCAUACAAACUUCACCUUCUUUUAUGUAAGAUUAUUCAAUGGUGCAACUAUGGAGGAAAACCCUUCAAUAAAUCUUCUAUAGUACCCAACUAAACCCAAAAAGCUCUUGAUAUUGGAUGGAGUGAUGGAUCUAGGCCAAUGGUUCAUUGCAUUAGUCUUAUGAAGGUCCACAUGAAUACUUUCCCUUGAAAUGGUAUGCCCCAAGAAGGUAACAAACUCCAACCAAAAGUCACACUUACUAAACUUCAUAAAUAAUUAACGAUUCUUUAGGGUUGGCAAUAUUAUCCUCAAAUGAUCCGCAUGCUCCUCCUCACUCCGAGAAUAUACCAAUAUGUCAUCUAUAAAAACAAUGAUUAAAAUGUUCAAGUACUACUUGAAGACCCUAUUCAUCAAGUCCAUAAAGGCUGUAGGAGCAUUUAUUAGUCCAAACGACAUAACCACAAACUCAAAAUGACUGUACCUUGUUUGGAAAGAUAUUUUUAAAAUAUCGCGCUCCAUGACUUUCAACUGGAGAUACCCUAGACUAAGGUAAAUCUUAUAAAACCACCAGGCAUCCUAGAGCUAAUUGAACAGAUCAUCAAUUCAAGGAAUAGAGUACUUGUUCUUAAUGGUAAUCUUGUUUAACUGUCUAUAGUCUAUGCAUAUUCUAGGAGUGCUAUCUUUCUUAUGCACGAAUAAAAUUAGAGUACCUUGUAUGGAAAAAAUGGGUCUAAUGAAAUCCUUAUCUGGGAGAUAUUUAAGCUUCUCCUUCAACUCUUUAAGAUCAGCCAUAGCCAUACGAUAUUGUAACACCCCACAUUUUUGAGCUAGAAAUCGAAUCGUUGUUCCUACAUGUGUAAACUCUAAUCCCAUGAUUUACAUUUUGAAUACAUGUUUCAUGAUAAUUAUACCAGUGUGAAGGGUUCUCAUUAGGCAAAAAAUGUUUAUAGGAAUCAUUUAGAGCAAAGUUGAGCUAAGAGCCUUUGAUUCGAUCAAAUUUUGGUAUUUGAUUCUACAAGGGUGAACUUAAAUAACUUUUGAUAUAUGUAGAAUUUUGCAUCUAAAUACCCACCAAAUGAUUCAUAAUUGAUUUAGAUUUCCAACAAUACCAAUUUUUCCUUAAUCCAAUAUCUGAGUGAAAAGUUAUGACCAUUUUGGUGAGAUUCAAAAGAGUCGCAAUAGCCCCGUGCCACAGGGGCUAUUCAAUCUGACUAGGGUCUUAUUGUGAGGGAUAUUCCAAUGGACUAGAUGUCACUCCACGAGGGAUAUUCGCAUGGGUAAAAGAGUCCAAGGGGUAGUAGGUCCUUUCUCCUCAACCCCAACCGUCCAAACACGAUUUAAAAUACAAAAGGGCCAUUAUUUGCCUAUCUUCCUAAAAAAACUCAUGUAAAACUCCUCUCCUUUCCCAAGAACAAUAAUCCAAGCUUAUUCUCUCAAGAACUAACAAAUUUGAGAUCUGACUUCAAGAUUUCUUCAAGAAUCUGUUUAAUUAAGGUAUGUGGGGUUUUGAACAAGGUUAAUCUUUCAUCCUUGUGCACUAAAGUAAGAUUUUCAAAUUGAAUUUACAUAGUUUAAGUUAGGGUUCAUUCCCAAAUCCUCAUGUGUUGAAAGCAUAGAAUUAUUAUGUAAUUUAAGGGACUAAAGAGCAUAAGAGUUGUAUUUUUUUAUGUUUCCAACUACAAGUUUGAUAUUUUGUCUUGAACUUUGUGAUUUUGAUGAGAAAGUGUUAUUCUCCUAAGUUUAAUACACCCCCAUGCUUAAAUUCAUGUAUUAUACUCAUGUAUUGAAUUGUCAAAUGUUUUGGGUCUCCAUAUUAUGACUUCAUAUUACUAUUUUGAAGAGUUGUUAGCAUACUUUAGUAAUCAUUUAGUACUGGCAGGUUAUGAACACCCGUUACUAUAUGUUUACUUAGGUUUUAGAUUUUUCAAGUGAUAAUUUAGUCCACCCAUGAUUUUAUAGUUAAACUCAGUUUGUUAUGAUCUUAUUGAGCACUAUCAAUUUACAUAUCUAUAAUUACCUCAGAAUCUAUAUGCACUAUUAUUUUCAAAAUACCAUGAUUUGAUCUUAUCAGUUAUCAGUGCAUGCAUCAGUUAGUAUUUUAGUGUCUUUCAAUUGGGAGUAGGAUUUAGAACCGAGUGGAAAGUGUGGGUUCAACGCAUCUUAUUUCCACUGAAACUACGUGCCACCGAUUUAGGGGCCUCGCCAGAGUGUUUCCCUUUGCCUAAUAUGGACUCAGUUUAGUGACCACUCCAGCUCAAGUUUUAUUCCGAUGGCAAGGAUAGAACAACCCUCCUCAAUGUGGGUCAGACGUUGGACUCUAUGAUAGAUAACAUGGUUUAUAUUAGUUAUAUGAUAGCUCCCACAGUUUCAGUCAGUAAUCAGUUUAUUUCAGUUUAGGUUUAUUAGACCAAGUAGAUAGAUUACAAUAAUUAUUCAGUCAAUUUUAUAGAUUAUUCAUGUUAUUCAAGUCAUGUCAAUACGUGCUAUACUUGUUCUUUAUUCUCAGUUUUACAUGUUUAUAUUUUCAUGCUCAGUAUCUAUACAUGACCCUCAGUUCAGUUUUACAACAUGUUCAGCUUUACAUGAGAUUUACAUACAACAUUCAUGUUUUACGACUUCCCAACUUCAGUUCUACUUAUUCUACCAAAGUAAAGAUUUAAUAACUAAGUGUAGUGAUUCACCAGCUUAUCAAAUUAUGUUUGUUGCUCAUGUUUUAAGAUACUUCAGCUUUUAGUUAAUUUCAGUCUCUUGGUGAGUCUACCUACACUUAGCAUGUAUGUUUAAAGAUUACAUAUCUAUUUAGUUUUAUUUAUUUCAUUCACCCCUACUUACUCAAUAAAUUUCAAAGUACUGAUCCAUAUAUAUGUCUAUGUGAUACAUUGUCUCAUAAUGUGGUACCAGUAGUAGCCCCCAUAUCAUAAUCAGACAGUUUGCAGCUUCCAGCUAAUAGGUGAUAAGUUUCCUUAUUCUGGGGACUCUAGUCAGUUGUAGUUCAUGUACUAUAUUAUUAUUAUUCAUAUAUAUUGAUUAAUGGUAGUUGGAGUCAAGUCCUAACUAUCUAUAGUUAGUAUAGUAGAGGCUUCAUAGAUAAUCAGUCAGAGUCAAUACAUGUAAUUCAAGUUUCUUUCUUCAAUUUUUUCAUGAUGUAAACUUUAUCAGUAUUUCAUUUAUUCAGACUUUCUCAUAAUCAAGUUUGCGCUCAGUAAACAUAGUUUUUACACAUUUAAAAUCAGUUUCUUAAGCAGUAUGCCAGUUCAUAGGUUAGCUUAGGAUCACUUAUGGUUCCAAGUAUCAUGUUACGAGUAGGGGUAGUCUCGGGUCAUGAAAGAUACGAAGGGAUAGGGAUGGGCUGGGUAUCAGGAAGAUGAUCAAUACUGAACUCUAUUUCUCUGUAUAGAGGUACCCAUGGCAGAUCUUUGAGAAAAAUCUCUGGAAACUCAUUGACUGUACAGACUGAUUGAACUAUCGGAACUUUAGACUUAAUAUCUUUAACUCAAACUACAUAACCCCUUUGAAAUUGAAUUCCUGGCCUUAAUAUAGGAGACGAAGCAACCUUUAGGAAACAUAGAAUUACCCUUCCACUCAAAAAUUAUCUUACUAGGAAACUGAAACUUCACUAUACGGGUGCAAUAAUUUAUUAAUGCAUAAUAUGAGUGGAGCCAAUCCAUGCCCAAAAUGAUGUUAAAGUCUAUCAUAUCUAACUCUAUUAAAUCCAGUAGUGUGACCUUAUAAAUGAUGGUAAUAGGACACUUUUUAUAGACUCACCUUGCGAUAACUGGCUCACCCAUUGGGGUAAAGACUAAGAAGGGCUAAGAUUUUUUAGGCUUACCCCAAAAUUUACAUCAGCCAGUGGAGUUGCAUAAGAGAUAUUUGAUCCCAGGUCUAACAAUACAUAUACAUCAAGGUAAAAGACAUGAACCAUACCAGUGACAAUAUCUGGUGAACUCUUUUGUUCCUGAUGGGAUGGCAAAGCAUAGAAUCAAUACUGGCACUGACCGCUACCGAUGUUAGAUUAUGUACUCCGUGGAGGACUGGGUGGCCUAGAUGUGCUUUUGAAUUUAUAGCCUAAGUCUGGGAACGAACAUCUCUACUUCUCUUCUUAGCAUACAAACACUUCUUGAUCCUGUGGCCCAACUUGGUACAACCAUAACAACCCUCUUUGCCCAAUAAACACUAACCAUAAUGGGUCUUACCACACUUUGCACAAGUUGGAUAACUGGGCCUCCCGACCACACUAUUCUGAGACCUUGAAUACAAAGUCCUACCCCACUGAUAUUUUCUAUUUCUGGGUGCUGGGGCACUAACUGAGGAUAUAGAAGGCAAUGAUGAGUGACUUUGGAAUUACGAAUGACAUACCUCUUUGUAUCAUGGUUGACUAUAAUCAAACUAUCUAGUCCUAGCUCUUUUGUUCCUCUUCUCUCUUUCCUUUAACUUUUCACCUCAAUCUAUUAUACAUGACUCAUCAAUCGAGCAACAUCUAUAUCUCCAAUCAGCAUAGCCGUCUGACACUUUUUUACCACCAAAUCUAAUACCCCAGUAGCAAAUUUACUCAUGCAAGCUCUAGAGUUUGAUGACAACUUUAAAACAUACUUAGCUAGUUGGGUAAACUUAAGGCAAUAUUCCUUCACUAUUAUAGAUUCUUUCACUUGUUAGCCUCCCUCAUCUAGCAAGGAAAGAACCUUCCUGGGAAAGUAUUUUGAAAGACCUACCAACUCAUACGAGCUGCAUUCUCACACCUACCAUCCUUCCACAUAACGACCCAAUCAUAAGAAACAUCUUUCAACCGAUAAGAUGACAGUUCCACACUUUCCUAUUUAUUGACAUACAUGAUCUGAGUAAUCUUUCUCACCUUGUCAAUAAAGAUUUAAGGAUGCUCAUCCAUCUUUGACCUGUAGAACUCAGGUGGAUUCAUUUUCAUAAAGUACUGAAUCCUGGCUGUAUCUAAGUUACCAUUUUGUUGAAGUGGGCUAUUGCUUGUUAGUUUCCCUGAAUAUUUACAUUCACAACUUAGGCCAAUGCUUUAAAGGUAGAUUGAAAUUUGGCAUGAGAGUCAUUUUUGACUGGGCAAUCUGUGUGCAGUGGUGGUUGAUCACCAUUUCUGCAGACAUAAGCUCAACGAGGAGGCAUAUUCUAUCACGUGAAAGCAUAAAUUAGAGAAAAUAUUGAAAAAUUCAAGCACAAUAUAUCAUGAAAGAAAAGAUUAUUCCUAACUCAUUUUGUGGCCUCUUGCUCAUAAAAGUGGCGCGCUUCACACUAAAUAUCAAGAUUCUAUGUAAUGCAGCUUAUCUAACUUCCUAGGACUCUUUAAAACCUUAGGUUCUGAUACCAAGUUUGUAAUGACCCGAGAGUAGCCCCUGGAUUUUACACGGUACUUAGGACUAUGAAUAGUCCCAAGCUAACCCAUGAUAUCUAUUCAUCUCAGAACUCACAUGAACUUUGCACUAAUAUAUACAAAACUAAAGGAAAACAAUUCAAUCUUAUUAAAGAUCUGUAAGUUUGGAAACCUUAAACACACUCUUUGAACUUUAAAUAUAUACAGUCUAACAAGCCUGUACUUCUUGCUAGAGAGACAUUGGGAUAGACCCUAGAUGACUCAAACAUAAACUGAAAUCAAGCAACUAAGGUAACUUCUAUCAACGACUUAGAAUUUGAUAAGCUGGGCCCUCGAACUAUGAGGACUUACUAAUUAUUGGGAUGAAGGAUGUAAUGUUCGUGAUUAAUCGUGCUGCUGGCAAUGAGCACUAGAACCAUAUUAUAAGACAAUAUAGCACAUAGACAUAUAUAUGUAGGUCAGUACUUUGGAAUAUACUGAGUAUAUGAGAGUGAAUGCACCAGUAAAAUAGAAAUCAAAUAUGUAUCUAUAUAUAUAUAUAUACUUUUGAACCAAUGCAUGCUGUGUAGAGGACUCACCUUGAACUUAAGUAAAACAGAAAGCUAUAUGAUUACAAAACAUGAGUAACAAAGCAUACUGAAUAAAAUUAGUGAGUUAUUCCACUUAGUUUCUAAAAUCUUUGCUUUUAGUCUUUCUAGCGGGAGAUUCUUCUAACCGACAUAAACCAUAUGAGCUAUCAUAGAGUCCAACAUCUUACCCACGUGGAGGAGAGCUGUCCUACCCUUGCCAUCAAAAUAGAACCUUAACUUAAGUGAUUACUUGCUUAACCCAUAUUGGGACUUAAACCUACGAUGUCUCAUACAACAACAACAACAACAACAAACCCAGUGUAUUCUCACAAAGUGGGGUUUGGGGAGGGUAAGGUGUACGCAGUCCAUACCGCUACCUCCGAAGAAGUAGAGAGACUCGUAGUUUUUAGAAAUUUAGGAUACGCUCAUCCACAUUCCCCUCUCUAUGCUAGAUACUACUCCCAAUAUAUAUAUAUAUAUAUAUAUAUAUAUGUAUAUAUGCUCAUACUUAAGAAAUCCUCCUUAAAAUAGCAUAAGGAUUUAUAUAAUGAAAACUAGUUCUGCUUCUCUUUACUUAAAUCAUGAUCAUAAGGAACACUUGUGGAUUUCAUAUCUUAUCUUAGAUCAAAGAUUGAAUUAAACUUAAAUCAUACUGUAAUACAUAUAAUUGAAGCUUAGAGCUUAGAUUUCUUGUAACUCAAUGCUCAUGCUUAAGCCUUAAAAUUUAUAUUUUCUCUCAUAAAAUUUAUAAUAAAAUCAUGCAUAGUACUUACAUAAAAAAAUUUCAUCAAAAUUCAAGACAAAUAAGAAAAUUCAAAUCACCAUAAUCAUUUUGCAAUUUAAAAUAUGAAUAAGGGGAAAACUCUUCUGCACUUAAGUCUUUCAAACACAGGAUAAUGUUAUACUUCAAAAGAUGAGAAAAUGGGCAUGAACCCUAAUUAAAAACAUAUAAAUUCAACUUGAAAGUUAAAUUUUUGGUCACAAGGAUGAAAGAUUAUCUUUGUUCAAAAACCACACAUACCUGGAACUAUUUGACUUAUGAAGAGGACUUGAACUUUGAGACUUGAGAUAUGACGUGAUAAGGGAAACCCUAAUCUUGGUGUUCUUGAAGAUGGAAGGAGAAGAAGUAUUGUUAUUCUACUAAAUGGUAAGGAAAAUAACACUUCUUUGGGGUUAUAAGUCGUGGGUUGAGAGUUUUAAGAGGGGAAAAGACCAAAAAACCCCUUAACUAUACUUAAAGAAAUUCAACCAUCUGUCAUCAUGAGUCAUCUAGAAAGCUGCACUGGUCUAGAUAUAAGUCAUAUCUUAUGACUCGUAGCAUCUCAUUACGACUUAUAGAAACCUCUCGUAGCUUGGAUAGAAACUUAGAGAACCAAUACUACUGACCUUAUGACCCUCACUCUAUGACUCGUAACAUGAAGUGACAACUCCUAGGGUCGAGUCAUCAAGUGACCAGAAACUUCGAUCAUUCCACACUUUCUUGGUUAUGACUACAACAUACGACUCAUGAAGAGUCUUAACAACUUGAUGGAUGAGUCGUAAGUUCUACUGUGACUUGAAAUCUUGGGGUAUAACAUCUCAUAACCUAUGUUAGAUACAUAGUUAUGGAAUUUAGGGACCGCUACUAAAGGCCUUACCCUCGAUCGGCAGGUGAGCCUUCAUCCCUCUAUUUGCUCAGUGCUAAGUUCUACUGUCAACUGAAAGACACAGAAGUAUAAUUGAAUCAUGAACUGAUGAUUGAUGUGCUCAAGUCAUGGUAUUAUGAAAAUAAAAAUGCAUGUAUAAUCUGAGGUAAUCAUGAACAUGUAAACUAAUAUAUGUAUGAUUUCCUAGGUAUCAGGUGUUCAUAACCCACUAGCUCUAUUCAUAAUAAUAUUAACUGACAUUAAGAAGAAAUUCACAAUUUAGGCCCCAAAACCCAACAACUUUCAUAGUAAGAAAUUCAUGUUUUUGAACAUGGGUAGAUGCUAUUCUUAUGGGAAAACAUGUACUCAUGGUUUACUUACAAAAUAAACUAAAGAAAUUAGAAAAAACUCAUAUUUGACCUGGAUACCAUAACAGGAAGAGAAUUAAGUUUAAGGAUUGAGAAAUCUUAAAAAUAUAAGUAUAUCAUGCAUGGACAUGAGAAUAUCAUGCAUGAUAUAUUAUGGGCCUAAGAAUUCAUGAAUAAUCAUUAAAACAUGCUUAUGAGUGAAAAUUAUAUCAUGAGGAAUUGUAUUUAAGCAUAGAAUAAAAGUUAGAUAAAAGCCCUAGAUCAUGAAAAUCAUAAAAUUCAUAAAUAUUUUGGGCAUGAGGAUGAAAGGAGAUCCUCAUUAAAUAACCACAUACCUGAUUAUUUUUGAUUCUUGAAUUGAAGUUUUGGAAAUUUAGACUUGGAGAUGAAAAACCCUAAUUUCUUGCUUUGGAGAAGAGAAAAUCGCAUGUUCUUGGAGAAUUUUGUGAGUUGUGUUUAGAAUGAGGGAUUUGGAAUUGUUUUUGCUUUUUAUUCCGCCUUGAAAUAGCUUAAAUAACAUAUUUUUGGCGGUUAAAAGAGCGGAAAAAGACUUUAAAACCCCUUAGAAAUUGUCUGGACAUCGUCUGGAAGCGGUCCCAACGACUUAGGUCACGACUCAUAGGGUUUGGACCCUAGUCGUGACUUGAGUCAUGGUCAUAUACCCAAUUUCAACCUCUACUUCCUAGACUACGACUCCCUCCUAACAACCCGUAAUGAGACAUUAUGAUUCGUAGUCUGGGCAACUUUGACAGUGCUUUAGUAUUUUUCCAUAACUUUUCAAGACAAUAUCGGAUUAAGGCUAAAUUGAUAUCGCUGGAAGCUAAUUAAAUUAUCUAUAUGGCGGUGGGCAUUGGGCUCAAAAAGUCUUAGUAUACAAAAAUUUAUGCUCAUUUAAAGAUGACUAUAAUUAUAUUCUUCACGAGAAUUUAAUCACUAAGGGAUAUUUUGACUUGUCUAUAAGCUAGGAACUAUUUGUGACUGUAAUAUACGUCUAAAUCACCAUAAAACUAUCAAACACGAGGUUUGAUCUUCCAUGAUCUUAAAGCAUGGUUCAAAUAUUUUCUUGGAUUUUCGCGUUGUUAUACUUCUUAGGAUCACAAAGAGUAUGAGGAACAUGUUUCUCUAAAAUCGGGUAUGAAAUUGAGCCUAUGUCAAUAGAGGCAAAACUGGUGACUGACAUGCCCUCCACUAUUGCUUGGCAUCUCCUUCCAACUAGAAAGUAACAAUAUCAACAUGUGGUGCUCAAUAAUACCCAUUUUAUGCAACCUUAAAUAACAUUAAUAAUGAACUCAAAUACAUCCUCCAUCUCAAAGUCAACAAAAGUAGGAGGUUUCAUCUCUAGGAACUUGGUCAACAUGUCAUACUCAAUCCCAAUCAUGAUAGGACCUACACUGUUUAAGGAAAAAUCUAAGUCCCUAAGGACUUACCUAUUUUAGGAGCAACUAUAGCAGUCAGCUGAAUACCUUAAAAUAGAUAGACAAACAUAGCAGAAGUGGCCCCAGUACCGACCAAUCCAAUAAAAAAAUGAAGCAUCUACUGAAUAAUCAUAGGAUUCAUUAUUGGAAGAGCUUUAUCUAUAACUGAUUCCACUUUUUCCUACUCCAUAACAUUCUUAUUUAUCUCCCCAACCUCUCUAUAAUGAUCCUACGAUGGAGAGAUAUCACUAAUCUUUGAUGAGGGUGAUCAGUUACUACUGCAGUACCACCUAUGGUAGGUACUGCUCUCUCUGUUCCACUUAACAUACUCCUUUCGUAUAUUUAUCCUUGUACUUUUGUUUUUUCACCUAGAGCUACUGGUGUAGGGGCUAGGACUUUGGCUUUGUUUGCUCUAGUAUUCACCAUUUAUGGAAAAAAUAAUAAAGAAGGUGAGCUACCAAUUUGUAUCACCAUAUACCAAUUAUAACCAAGUUAUCAUAAAAGAAGAAAGAAAUAAUAGUUUCCUAAAGUCCUAUAGCCUUUCAAAGAAAAGUACAGAUGUUUUCAUACCAUUUUGCAAGACUCUACUGGACUUGUUUUGGUACAACGAGAUCAAUGAACCUAGGGUACUAAUAACAACUUUUUCAUGACCCAAACCCACUAUGAGUGACACCCACACUAAUCCCCGGUGGGAGAUCCAUCUAACACUAAGCAUGCUACCCAACACUUAGCCAAAAAUAAGACAAACUAGCUAUUUUACAUUAAUAAGAACUAAAAUCCAUAAUACAACAAGAGAUGCAGAAUAAUAAAACUAACAACCCUUAGAACUAAAAAAUCAUUAAUCAAAACUACUAUAAUGUCAAUAAAUGGAUUAAUCCAAAAUAAAUAAAAAUGUCUAAGUCUGAAAAAAUGGACUAGAAUAUGAAUGAAUGAAAUGGAAACUUGAAAUAUGCAGGUCACCCUUUAAAUCAAAUGUUAUCCACUCUAUAGUCGAUGUCUCACAAUAGUAUUUGUAAUAUUAUCUCCUCUCAAUAAAAAUAAGAGCACGUGUGGUAUCAGUACAUAAGAAAGAACGGUGUACUGGUAGGGUCAUCGGCUAACCCAAAAUAAGAAAUAUCGAUAAGUAAUCAUAACUUAGUAAAGAAAGAACAACCAGGAAUACCUUACUUCAAGUUCAUAACGCUUAAUCUUAUUCAACAACAUUAUGGUGUUUAGUCAAUACAAGUCAGCAUGGAUAACAAUUCAAGUCAAGACCAUGAUUACCAACAAGACUUCAAGUCAACAACUAUGGCUCUACCUAUUAUAUAAAUCACGUCUCAAUUACACAAUUAAAUAGACAAUAUAAAGUUUUACCUACCGUACAAUUAAAUACUAACCACUCAAGGAUCCCUUCUAAUAACAAUAAUGGAAAAAUCAUGAAUUUUGGUUUACAUAAAGAAACUACAUACAAUAACUAAGAACACAAACUUGGUUCACUUACAAAAGCAAUAUAACCGAUCAACACUUAAGCUCGGGUUACUUAAGAACCAAUAUAACAACUAAACACAUAAUCCUUGAUCCACUGAAGGAACUGUCACACUCACGCGAACCUUAUUCAUACAUGCUAAGAGUCUUAUGGAUGCCCACUAGCCAUGACCUACUGAGGACAAGCUAAUUUUGUCCAUGUACCAAAAAUCAUAGAUAUUCAAUGUCUGCCAACGUUAUGUCAACCAAUCCCAUGAAGAUGUUCAACUAUUAGUUGAUCCUAUGAUAACAAAUAUAAUCUCACAAAAAUUUUCAAAUACCUAUAUAUCUUACAAUAGUGAUAGAUAUCAUAACAAUCACAACUACAAGGAUAACAUAAAUAAUGCUAGUAAGAACCAAUAAGCUUUUGUUAUAAGUUCAUUGCAUGCUAUUUAUUCCUGAACGCACAAGAAAAGGUAGCUAGCUUUUUCUAGCUUCUAUAUAGGCCCUUCCACUUUGGUGUAUUUACGUUUGUAUUGCUACUGAAUGAACAUAUCAAAUAAAGCCGAGCAGUAUAAGCCCUUCUCCGGCCUGGAAAAAGCAACGAACUCUAGAAGCUAGGGCUUUGUUCACCUUUGGAAACGAACACUAUCCCAUUCUCAGUGAAAACCCACCUUAGAGAUUAAACGGCAAUAAGAUAAGUCAACGUUCAAUCUAAGACAGCGCUGCGCGCUGAUAGCUUAUAAAUGGUUUUUUCAUUCGCUAUGCACUUACUAAAUGCGUACUCGCAUGAUCAAUCGAUGAAUGGGGAAAUUGCGUGAAUGAUGAGACCGUCCUAACCUAAAGUCAAGGCUCUUCCCUCUCUUGAUGGAGAAUCUUGAUUGACUGACACUAGGAGCCGAUUCAGAGAAAGAAGAAGCAUGGCAUGAGAUAGGUAGUGGAGAAAUUUCUGAUAGCAAAUUACUUGACUCUAUGGAUGGAGGGAGAACCCUCUAACUCAAGCAUGAAAUAAAUGUUGAGUCAACAAUCAUCAAGAGAGAUGGAGUCUGUAUCAUGGUGAAGAUAAGGUAAGGCUGUGAUUCUUGCUAAAAAAAUAGACUAAAAUCCUUCAAGUUAUUGGCUUAUCCAACCCCGUAGCAUUCAUGAGGGGAAUGGUUUCCCGGUUUUCUCAGCCUGGUGUCCUGCACCUCGUGUUCAUGAUAUCUACAUUCAACUGUGCCCCAGAGACACGGUCGAAGCACGCCCAUCUAGUGUGUUUCUUUCACAACAUUCUAUAGUCCUGGGUGUCUUCCAGUGGUCUUCUAGUCUUAGAAGAAGUCAUGUCCGCCCCAGGCAUCUGUAACAUCCUCUUUCGAUAUUCUAAUCUGGGAGAACUAAAAGACUGACCCAUUUGGUGACUUUCACGGUCGCCCUCACUAAACUAACUUGAAUGCCCAAACGUACAUAAAUUUAGUACUACAAUAAUCAAAUUAUGAUUAAAAUAAUUAAUUCUAGCAUCCUAUAUACAAUAAUAUCGAAUGUUAAUCUAAUCCCUUAGGGGUCGUUUGGUUUGAAGGACAAUAAUGUCGAACACUAAUCUGGACAUUUGGUCUGAAGACUGAUGAAUUAAUAUGGUAUUAAGUUUAUUCCAAUGUUUGAUUUGUACUUUUAAUCAUGUAUAACUAAUCUUGGUAUAACUUAAUAUACCUACAAAAGAUAUUAUUUUAUAUAACCAACAACAACAUAGAAUAGCCAAGGUGGAGCUAGAUUAUAGCUUAGGGGUUCUAGUAGCUUUGGUCCAAACAUUGUGAUGCUUUUUAAAAGAUAAAAGCGCAAAAUAUGACAAGGUCCCCAAGUCUUAAGAGAAAAAUGGUAAAUGAAUCAUACACUUUUUUAAAGUGAAGUGCAAAAUUUAUGAAAAAUAAAAAAUGCCCAACAUAUAUGAAUUUUGUACUAUAGUAAUCAAAUUGUGAUUAAAAUGACUAAUUCCGGCAUCCUAUAGACAAUAAUGCUUAAUAUUAAUCUAACUCCUCAAGGGCCAGUAAAAUAAUUAUGGUAUACAUUUUUUAUAUGUUUUAUUUGUAAUUUGAUUCUAGAACCAAUACUUGAAUAUAUGAGAAGAAUCCACCAAGUGUUUUUGCAUCUAUUGAGAAUUGAAUCUGAGACCUCAUCAUUCUCAACCCACUUCAUUGAUAAUUGACCAAAUGGGCGCAUAUUAAUUUAGAACAUAAUAACUUAAAAAGACUAGAAAUCCGGACCCAUAAACAUCAAAUCCUGGUUCCGCCUAAGGGAAUAACUUAUCCAUGUAUAACUUAUACAAGGAUAAAACAUAAGAAGUACAAAACUACCCUUUUCUUUUUCCAAGAAUUCAAUAAAAGUCAAGCAUCCAAGGAUAUAUUAUAAAUUGUCUUGUAGUUAAAAAAUAAAACAAAAAUAUAUUGUAUAUCCAGUUUUAGCGCAAUAAACCAAAUACUCAACAAGAAAUAAUCCAUAUAUAUUAUUCCUAGAUUAUUAAUCUCUUCAUUAUAGUCCCUGUAUAACUGAUCCUCAAACCAAACAACCACUCAAAAGUUAAUAUUCAAAGAACCAACUGCUUCUUGUUGGAAUAGCUUUGCACGCCAUUCUUUGAACUUUAAAGUGCAUAUUUCUCCAAAGCACAUUGCGUCAAGAAAUGGCUUUUAAUAAUACUGAUCAAACACCCAAUCUAGUCACUGGUUUCUUUCCAAAAUGACAAGUUACUUAAUCUCUACUAAAGAACCUAAUGAAUAUAUUCAAAGUAUUUUGAGUGCAUUUAACAUAGCGGCAAAUGUUAUUCUAAAAAAUUAGAAUUCAUCUUGAAAAUAGUUUAUCUUGGAAAUCAUUUUUCUGACAUAGGUUAGUUGUACAAGGUGUAGCCAGUUCCUAACUACAGUAAAGUAGUAUUGCAGUAAGGUGAUGUUCAUAGUCUAACUUUGAGGGAUCUACCAAAUAUUGAUAGUGGGGAUAUGCCUAUGUAGACACACAACAUCAACACCCAGGUAGCUUGUUAAAUGAGAAGGACCUUUAUGAUCUCACAAACUAGGUGUGACUUGUGCGGGACUAUUGAUAUGGGAUGUAAAUAAAGUGAAACGGAUACAUAGUUCAUUUUAAAGAGAUCCCAACCAAUUUGAGAUUAAUACAAUUUUAUUAUUUUGAUUGUUCUUAGGGUUGGAGGUAUGUAGAAGAAGAGACUAGUAUUUGUAUUUAGAACAUUAAAAAAAAGGUAUUUUAUAAUUAUUCGACUUUUUUGGUUAGCGGGAGAGAUAGUUAAAUGCUCAUUUCGCAUCUUUUUAUAUUGUUCAAACCAUCAGGAGCCAAAGAGAUACCUCUAUUCAUAAAGAGUACAAAGGGAAAGAAACUUGAAAAGAAAUCCCAUCAAGGAUUUCACAACAUUAUUGUGAUGUGAUCCUUUAUGUAACAUUCACUAGUUUGUCCGCUUAUUACCAAACUAAAGCACACAAUUCCUUCUGUCCUAAAGUAGUUUUUAUUUUCUCUUUUUAUUAUUUUCAAUUUUGGGUUUGUCCAAACGUUAUUUCAACCUUUUUAUAAAGAUGGCACUUUUUAUUUUAAAAUUGUGACGUCCGGGCCAACUUUUACGCACUGCGACUAAAUCCAUGGGAUACCUGCCACCUUCCACUAGCAACAAAAAUCAGGUAGCUGUAUCCACCAAGGCUAUGAUAUGCUUUUUGACUCUACUAGGAUUUGAACCUAUGACGCUUAUGUUCUCAACCCACUUCAUUCACCACUAGGCCACACCUUUGGGUGAUUUUGUAAGGAUAGCAUUUCUCAACAUUUCUUCAAUAUCUUCCCAAUAUAAUACUAUUUUAUUCAAUAACCGGCCCUAACUAGUUUGGCAUCGAGACUUGACGAAAAGAUUGAUCUUAUGUUACUUGCACUCUCUAACUUAUGUUUCUUAGACUCAAAAAUGUCAUUGGAUGCGUGUCGGAUAUUCUAAAAGUAGUGUAUUUUUUGAAGGAUCCAACACAGGUGUGGAAAAUUUUUGGAUAGUCCGAGCAACAUAGCCUACACUAAAUGUGUUAAUUCCUAAUUCAUUCUAAUCUUAUAUGAUUUCACCUCCAUCAUACGUUCAUAUUUCUAUAACACUUGUCUUGUAUAAAGGGACUUGUCCCAAUAUUUACUUACAUGAAAUUUGUUGCUCUCAUAAUCUUCCUAUGAGUGUUGCUUCUCAUAAUCUUCCUACAGAACUGAUCUUUCUUUUGAUGAUUAUCUUCCUAUCACCUACCCAGUGUUAUCAAGAGCAAGAAGCGCAAAAAAGCUCUAAGGUCUUUUGGUGCUUAAAGUGCAAAUAAAAGUGUGGGUUUCAACAAAAAAAGGCACAAAGGGAGAAAACAUAUUAAUAUUUAUGUUUAGUCCAAGAAUAAUUAUAAGAAUGAACGACAAAUAUGUGAACAAAGAAAUUGAAACAUAAUUACGAUAAAGUGAAAUAUCAAUAGUUUAGUACCGCCUCUUCAAAAGAGAUUCAUUGGUAAGGAAAAGUAUGUUUUAGAAACUUGAUGACGACAACGAAGAGCACAAAAAGCGAGGAAAAGCGCAAUUGAUGCACUGCACCUACCACACCGGUAUUGCUUACAUUUGUACUAUUCUAUUUUAAUUCUACAUCUUAUGCCUGAAUCUGUUAUGAUAUUCUCCUAUUAGAUUAAAAUUGUCUAUAUUUAAAUACCACAAUCUUCAUCUAAUCUCAAUUAAAUAUCACUCUUCAUAUAGGAAUUAAACUUGUAAUGCAAACAUUAUUUCUAGUUUGACUUAUCCUCAAUCUCAAUGCACUAUACAGGCUUUUGCUAUGAAUUAAAACUAAACUAAAAACUCUAAAUAUGAACUGUUCAAGAUUGCAUAUCAGCUAAAUUUUAACAGUAUAGUCUUUGUGCUACUUUAUUUCAUAAACAUUCAAUGAUCAGCUAAACCCACAUGGAGAGCUCAAGAAAAUCUUUUAAUAUACACAAGUAAGUUUUCUUCAACUUUAUUUUUCCUAACUCUCAAUAUAAGCUAGUAUCUAGUACUACCCAAUUUUACGAUGUCAGGAAAUCAGACGGGUAGUAUAAUUAGAGUUUAUGUUUGAUUUUUUACGAGUAACUUGGAGUGGAAAAUGUGAAAAAAAAAGUUGUUUGUAGCUUUUGGAAUUUCUAAAAAUAAUUGAAAAGUAUGAAAACAAAAUUUUCCGGAAUUUUAUGGCCAAACGUGUUUACCGGAGUUGAACUCCGAAAAAAAAGUGAAAAUUUUUCAUGGCCAAACACCCUCUUAGUUAAUCACACUAAAUUCGUAUCGAAACACUCCAUGAAAUGAGUUUGGGAAUUUAGCCAUGAAAAUUUUUCAUUUUUUCAACUCUGGAAAACACGUUUGGUUAUAAAAUUUUAGAAAAUUUUGUUUUUCACUUUCUUCGAUAAUUUUCAGAAAUUCCAAAAACAACGAAGAGCUAUUUUCACUUUUUUCACUCCAAAUUACUCACAAAAAUACAAUAAAAAAUUCUAAUCUAUUUCAUGGCCAAACAUAACUCCAGUUUCCAAAUAUCAAUUUUCAUAACUAAAUAUGGCCAAAUGCCUAGUUAAAUUAAUUUCAAACCUCAAAAGUUCACAAAUUCAAAUCAAACCGAUGUUAUGUACUGAAGAAAAACAUUGCCAGAAAUGCAGAAAAUAUAAACUAACCAAUUGAAAAAGAGGUGUACAAGCCACGACCAACAAACAAAAUCAAGGAAGCAAGGAAUGAACACAUGACAAUACUCGCCAUAAUUGGGUAGCAAGUUACAUUUCCUCUCUUCAAUGCUAUUUCCUGCUUAACACACUGUAACGCCCCAAGAACCUAUCCCGAGAUGUCACACCGUACUUAAGGCCACACGUGGCAUCAAGCUAACCCUCUAAGCCUGUCAUCCCUUUUUAAACUCACUUUGACGAUAGUCAUGGCAAAAUAAGAAAGGAUAUCAUAUCAUGGACAUACUCGAAAGUAAAGAUAUGCUGGCCUGUACAAUCAAAAUACUGACAUUCUGUACAUACAGAUACUCUAGUUUGACAAAGCCUCUACUAAUCAAGACUAAAGAGACAUUGGGACAAAUCCCCAACUAACUUAGACAGUAUUGAAAGCCAUAACAACAGAAUGAUAUCAUCAAAAAUAUAGAUACGGUCCUCAAACCAUGAGGACUCACCACUGAGGAAACGUAGUUGAGGUAGUCAAAUAUCGCUAACGCGGCUGCGACUGAGUACCUGAACCUACAUUACGAGAAAAUGUAGCCUAUAGGAAAAUAUGUGGGUCAGCACUUUGGAAUGCACUGAGUAUGUGGGGGUGCAUGCAACAAUGUAAAUAUCAUCAUCAAUUUCAUGAAAAUAUGCAUAUGUACAAUGAUGGCUCACUUGGCUUGAGUUAGAUUGAAACAUAAUUUUCAUGAUCUCAUAGUAAAUAAAUCAUAUGAUAAAAACCUCAUAAAUCAUCAUAAACAACUCAACUCUUCAACUCAAGACUUGGAGUGACUCGGUAAUUCAAAAAACUCAACUCUUAUGGACAUGGGAGGUUCUUAUAACCGACAUAAAUCAUGUGAGCUAGAUGGAGUCCAAUGUUUUACCCUCCUAAAGGAGAUAACCUCACAUUGGCGGAAGCAUUGUACUCUUGCCAAGGAGUACAACCUCAAUUUAGUGAUUAGAAUCUCAUACUCGGCCUGUGGCUCGAAAUUAUCAAUACCAAUCCUACGGUGGCAUGUAGUUUCGAGGAAAAUACCACAUUUAUCGCUCGGUGCUAAAUACUAAUCCCAGACACAAGCUCAGAACGCAUUAGGAAAUCCAACACAAACAUCACAAGGGUCUAUCAUGAAGAUCAAAUCAAAUCUCUUUCUCAUUUAUCAAAUCAUAAUCAAUUUGUGGAUUCCUAACUCGACUCAAAUCAAAUCAAUCUUUCUCAAUAUAAAAAUGUAUCAAUUCAUUAAAUCAUGACAACAUCAUUAACUUUGAGGAAAUAUCAAGACUCGUUGUAACAACUCAAUCUCAUGAAUCAAUAUUCUCAAUAAUCCAAUUUCUCAUAAGGAAGAUUAAAGCUUGAUACAUAUCUUGAAAGCACUUGAAAUAUCAACUCAUGGUAGAAAUAUGAAAUUCACAGUAUUAAAUAUCAAGUCAUAACUUGGGAAUAGUAAAAUAAUCAUGUAUAACAAAGCUUGAACAAUUUAUAUUCUCAUAAUCUCAUGAUGAAGUAAUUUGGAUAUAAACCCACUUGCAAAAUCAUAUAAAUCCAUGAUAGAAAUCAAAGCUUUGGGCACAAGAACGAAAGAAUUUCUCUUGUUCAAAACCCCACAUACCUUGGAUUAUAACUUUAAGAUGAAAAGACUUGAUUGGAAACUCUUCUUCACACUUUUGAGCUAAGUUUCUUGAUGCCUUUGACUUGGAGAACUUGAUUCUUGAACAACUUGGUGAAAUCUAUGAAAAAAUUCUUGAAUUUCUUGGAGAAGAUUUGAUUUGAAUUUGGAAGACAGAAACCCUAGUUCUAGAUAUUUCUUGGAUGAGAAAUGGAGAAGAAUGGAUUUCUCUUCUCUACUUGAAUCUAUAUAUAGAGGGCUAAACUGGGCGGAAAAACCAAAAUGCCCUUGAGAAAAUUCUAAAACUGGAGCCCGAUUUUUGGCCUUGGAGCAGCACUCCAUGAUCGCAGUCCUUCACUGGAUUUUGGACAACUGGGAAAUUGCUUAGUGGCGCAUUACGGUGAAAUCGCGUUGCCACCUUGGUUAUGACUUAGAAGGGCACUACGACGCGGUGGAAUCGCGUUGGUGCACUGGAAUUUGAAAAUCCUGAUAUUGAGCCUUGGCGCGAUGCGGUAAUAUCACAGAGGUUCACUGGAAAGUGACAAUUGGGAUAUUACUCAUCUCCGCGAUGCGCUGAGGGUCUAAAUAAUGAUGUUUCACGAUUGAGACUUCAGAUAGUCAUAACUUCUUGCUCCGAUCUUCGAUUUUGACAAAAUUGGUAUCGGCGAAAAGCUUAUUCAAAUCUCCACAUGAUAGAAAUUAGGGAAAUACAACACAGUUUAAGCAUCAUUCACUUUGGAAGUCUUUCCCAUUCGCUCAAAAGACAAAUUUAGGCUUACAAAAAGGUCGGGGUAUUAUAAUAUCUCACCCUUGGAAAUAUUCAUCCUCGAAUGUUUCUAGUUAGACUCAAGGUCAAAGAGGACACUUGAAAAUUCCCUACUAAAAUAAUCUAUUCAACAGGAUUACUUUACUCUAGACUUUCAUAUACUUCACUGAAUGCACGAAUCAAGAUGGAAGACAAUUAUAUAACCGAAUACACUGGAUUAGGAGGAAACUAAAUUAAGGAUAAAUAAUACCUUCAGCUUGAUUUGAACUUGCAGAGAAGAGAUGGGGGUACUUAACUCGCAUAUCUGUUUCUGCUUACUAAGUGGCACCCUCAACUGAUUGAUUUUGCCACAGAACUUUAACCAAAGGAACUUCCUUAUUUCUUAGUCUACGGACUUGAUAAUCUAUGAUUUCAACCAGAAUCUUUUCAUAAGAAAGGCUAUCCCGAAUGUCUAAGAUCUCCAAUGGAUGAACAACAACAGCAGAAUCGCCAAUGUGCUUCUUAAGCAUAGAAAUAUAAAAGAUAGGGUGGACAGCUGAAAACUCCGUAGGCAACUCAAUCUCAUAAGUUGCUUUCCCAACAUGAUUCAAAACUAUGUAAGGGCCGACAUAUCAGGGACUAAGAUUUCCUUUCUUACCAAAUCUCUUCACCCCUUUCAUGGGUGAAAUUUUCAGGUACACUAAAUCAUCAACUUCAAACUCAAGAGCUCUUCUUAUCACAUCUGCAUAUGACUUUUGAUGACUCUGGGCUGUCUUCAACUUUUCUCAAAUCAAUUUAAAUUUCUCCAUAGCUUCAAAUACAGCAUCAGAUCCAAUCACAACAGCUUCACCUACUUCAAACCAACCUAUGGGUGAUCUACACCUCCUUCCAUAUAAAGCCUCAAAUAGAGCCAUUCUAAUACUAGCAUGAAAACUAUUGUUAUAAGCAAAUUCAAUCAAAGGAAAAUGUUUAUCCCAACUUCCUUUGAAAUAAAGAACACAUGCCCUCAACAUAUCCUUCAAAGUCUGGAUGGUCUUCUCAGCCUGACCUUCCAUCUACGGAUGAAAAGCGGAACUAAGAUGAACUUGGGUGCCAAGACCCUUCUGAAAGGCUCCCCAAAACUGAUAAGUUAAUUGAGUACCUCUAUCAGAGAUGAUGGACAACGGAACUCUAUGCAACCUGACUAACUCUCAGAUGUAUAGCUUGGCAUAGUCCUCAGCGGUGAAAGAUGUAUGCACUAGCAAGAAAUGCAUGGACUUAGUCAACCUAUCUACAAUGACCCAAAUCGAAUCACGAUGAUAAUGAGAGAGAGGUAAAACAGUCAUGAAAUCUAUGUUUACCUCUUCCCACUUCUAAGUAGGGAUGCUAAAUUCUUACAUCAUACUACCGGGUCUCUGGUUCUCUAUCUUCACCUGUUGGAAAGUUGCACACUUCUCUAUGAACUUCUCUAUAUCCUUCUUCAUACCAUUCCACCAAUAGAUUUCUCAUAAAUCACAGUACAUCCUGGUAGCAUCGGGAUGAAUAGAAUACCGCACGCCAUGUGCUUCAGCCAUAAUUCUAUCUUAAAUAAUCAAUGUCAGGCACACACAACCUAUUCUAAAGCCUCAAUACACCAUCUCCCCUUUGGGAGAAAACCUCUACCUUUUGUCCUUUAACUGACCCUUUCAGUUUGACCAAAUGAUAAUCUAUAUCUUGCUUCUCUUUCACCUCCAAAACUAGAGAAGAUUAGGAACUACUCUGGACCCAAAAAUUACCCUCACCUGAAUCAAGCAAUCUAACACCCAAACUUGAUAAAUAAUGUACUUCGCGAACUAACUCCUUCUUACCUUUCUUUACAAGUGCUACACUACCCAUGGAUGACCUGCUAAGGGUAUUCGCUACUACAUUGGCCUUGACCGAGUGGUACAACACACUUAUAUCAUAGUGCUUCAGCAAUUCUAACCAUCGUCUCAGUCAAAGAUUCAACUCUCUUUGAGUAAAAAUAUACUGCAAACUCUUAUGAUCCGUAAAGACAUCAACCGUGCAAAAACAGAGAUCAAAAAUGCUUGAGUCCUGGGUUUUGUCUUAUUAGCGUCUAGGCCGAUGAACACCGUACAAGUAGUUUCUCUAAAUUUUUAAAGCAAAAACCACUGCAGCUAAUUCAAGAUCAUGGGUCGGGUAAUUGUUCUGAUGCGGUUUCAACUGCCUGGAGGCAUAGGCUAUAACCUUACCUUUUUGCAUCAAUAUGCAACCCAAACCAACUCUAGAGGCAUCACAAUACACUAUAAAAUCAUCUAUACUAUUAGGAAGGGUCAACACAGGGGCUGAAGUGAGUCAAGUCUUCAACUCCUAAAAACUCUUCUCGCCAAAAUCUAGCCACUGGAAUUUAACUUUCUUUUAGGUUAACAGAGUCAAAGGAGACACAAUAGAAGAAAAGCCUUCAACAAAACGAUGGUAGUAGCCAUAUAGACCCAAGAAACUCCUAAUAUCAGAUGGGGAAAUAGGUCUAGGCCAAUUUGUCGCAACUUUUACAUUUUGAGGAUCAACUUGAAUACCUUCAGAAGAAAUAAUAUGACCCAGAAAGGCAACUGACCUUAGCCAAAAUUCACACUUGCUAAACUUGGCAAAUAACUGAUGACCUCUAAGGGUUUCCAAGAUAAUUUGAAGAUGAUCUGUAUAGUCAUUCUUACUUUGGGAGUACACAAGAAUAUCAUCUAUGAACACAAUAAUAAACAUAUCCAAGUACUGUCUGAACACCCGAUUCAUGAGGUCCAUAAAAGCUGCUGGGGCAUUAGUUAGCCUUAAAGACAUAACCAAGAACUCAAAAUGACCAUAACGGGUGCAUAAAACCAUCUUUGGAAUAUCAUACUCUCUAACCUUAAGUUGGUGGUAACUGGAUCUCAAAUUUAUUUUUGAGAAAUAACUAGCACCUUGCAGCUGAUCAAACAGGUCAUCAAUUCUAGAAAGAGGAUAUUUGUUUUUGACUGUGACCUUGUUGAGCUGACGAUAGUCAAUGGACAUACGCAAUGAACUAUCUUUCUUUCGCACAAACAAAAUGGGUAUGCCCUAAGGAGACACAUUGGGCCUUAUGAAACCUUUAUCAAGAAGAUCUUUGAGUUCUCUUUCAACUUCUUAAGUUUUACAGAGGCCAUACGAUAUGGAGGAAUAAAAAUAGGCUGUGUGUCGGGAAGAAGAUCUAUUCUAAAUUCUAUCUCUCUAUCGGGAGGUACCCUUGGGAGAUCUUCUAGGAAAAUAUCAAGAAACUCAUUAACAACAUUGAUGGGCUGAAUCGUCGGAGUCUCAGACUUUAUGUCUUUAACUCGAACCAAAUGAUAGAUGAAACCCUUGGAUAUCAAUUUUCUGGCUUUAAGGUAAGAUAUGAAAUAAGUCUUAGGAGAUACUGAAUUUCUGGACCACUCAAAGAUUGGCUCAUUGGGAAACUAAAACUUGACUACACGGUAGGACAGUCUAUGGACACAUAACCAGAGAGAAGCCAAUCCAUACCCAGAAUAAUGUCAAAAUCGACCAUGUCUAGUUCAAUCAGGUCUUUAAGCAAGACUCUAUGAAAGACAGUGAUAGGACACUUCUUAUACACUUGUUUAGCAAUAACAGAUUCACCUAUUAGGGUAGAAACUAGGAUAGGCUCAGGAAUUUUUUUAGCACUGAUCUCAAAAUUCACAACCACCAAUGGAGUCAUAUAAGAAAAGCUUGACCUGGGGUCCAUCAACACAUACACAUCAAAAUGAAAGACACGGAGCAUACUAGUGAUAAUAUCUGGAGAGUCCUCCUGCUCCUGGUGAGGUGGUAUAGCAUAGAAGUAAUUCUGGCGUGAACCGCCAGCAGUACUAGAAGAGGCACCUUGAGAAGGAAUUAGGCGGACUACGGGAGUGGGCGCACUGGUAGCCUGACUCUAGGGACGAGCAUCUCAACUCCCCUGUCUAGCAUACGGACAAUCUAUAAGUCGGUGGCCCAACUUGCCACAACCAAAGCAACCCCUCUGAUCAAUAAAACACUGGCCAAAAUGAUCUCUAACACACUUGGCACAUGUAGAAGGAUGAGAUUGGUUACAUAUACUUUCCUGAGACUUGGAUGGUAUAGGCCUGUUCCCCUGUUCCUUUCUGUUUCUAGGUGCGGGACCACUAACUAAGGACGGCACGGGCAUAAAUGGAUGUCCCUAGAAUUGAGGGCAGUUCCCUCCAUGGAAUCUGGACUAACCAAAUCCCUGCUGCUCUGAUCUAGCUCUUUUAUUCCCUCUUAUUCUCUCCCCCUCUUUCACCUUAUCAGCUUUAAUCUAUUGGGCAUGUAUCAUCAAUCCAAAAAGGUCCAUCUCCCUAUUAAGCAUAACAGAUCUAUACUCUUUCAUAACAUAACUCGACACAUCGGUCAUGAACUUACUUAUGAUGGUCCUUGAGUUAGCCAUCAUACUAGGAGCAUAUUUGGAUAACUGAUUGAAUCUAAGACAAUACUCCUUAACAGUCAUGGAGCAUUGUCUUAAAUUCAUGAAUUCCUUUAUCUUUACUUCCCUUAUCUCAAGAGGAAAGAAUCUAUCCAAGAACAAAUCCUGGAAUAACUACCAAGUCAUGGGAGUGACAUCCUCCUUCUACUCUUCCCCCAUAUCUCCACCCAGUCAUAUGCAACAUCUUUUAUUUGAUAGAAAGCCAAUUUAACACUCUUCUCCUUAGUCACGUGCAUAAUCUGGGUGAUUUUUCUCACUUUAUCCAAGUACAUCUGUGGGUCUUCACCUACCUUCGACCCAUAGAACUCAGGCAGAUUCAUCUGCUUAAAGUCACAAAGUCAAGAUUCAGCAGAAUUAUUCUCUUGUGGAGGUGGAAUAGUAGCCUGGGUGUUAGCUUGAGAAUUGGUGGUAACUACCUGGGCUAGCGCCUGAAAAGCUGCCCAAAAUUUUGCAUGAGACAUAUGCUCGUUUAAGGGAUCAACGGGUUGAGGUUGCUCAUUAUUUCUACGAGCUCGAUGAAGAGGCAUUUUCUGUUAUAAGAGAGCACGAGUUAAUCGCAGAUAAAGAGACAGUUGUAGGCAUGAUAAACUUUAGAAAGAAAUGAAUUUUCCUAAAAUGUUUCAUAGCCUCUUGCUCAUAGAUGUGGUACGCUACACACCGAUGAUCAAGACUCUACGUAAUGCAUCUUGUCAGACUCUCUAGGACUCUUUAAACCUUAGGCUCUGAUACUAAGCUUGUAAUGCCCCAAGAACCUAUUCUGAGAUGUCACACGGUACUUAAGGCCGCAUGUGGCCUCAAGUUAACCCUCUAGGACUGUCAUCCCUUUUUGAACUCACUUUGACGGUAGUCAUGGAAAAAUAAGAAAGGAUAUCAUUUCAUGGACAUACUCAAAAGCAAAGAUAUGCUGUCCUGUACAAUUAAAAUACUGACAUUCUGUACAUAUUGAUACUCUAGUCUGACAAAGCCUCUACUAAUAAAGACUAAAGAGCCAUUGGGACAAACCCCCAACUAACUCAGACAGUACUAAAAGCCAUAACAACAGAACAAUAUCACCAAAAAUAUAGACAUGGUCCUCGAACCAUGAGGACUCACCACUGAGGAAACGUAGUUGAGGUACUCAAAUAUCGCUAACACAGCUGCGGCUGAGUACCUGAACCUACAUUAUGAGAAAAUAUAGCCCAUAGAAAAAUUUUUGGGUCAACUCUUUGGAAUGUACUGAGUAUGUGGGGGCGCAUGCAACAAUGUAAAUAUCAUCAUCAAUUUCAUGAAAAUAUGCAUAUGUACAAUGAUGGCUCACUUGGCUUGAGUUAGAUUGAAACAUACGUUGCAUGAUCUCAUAGUAAAUAAAUCAUAUGAUAAAAACCUCAUAAAUCAUCAUAAACAACUCAACUCUUUAACUCAAGACACGGAGUGACUCGUAAUUCAAGAAACUUAACUCUUAUGGACAUGGGAGGUUCUUAUAACCAACAUAAACCAUGUGAGCUACAUGGAAUCCAACAUUUUUCCCUCCUAUGGAGAGAUCCCCACAUUGGCAGGAGCAUCAUACUCUUGCCAGGGAGUACAACCUAAAUUUAGUGAUCAUAAUCUCAUACUCAGACUCUGGACCACAAUUAUCAAUAUCAAUCCUACGGUGACACAUAGUUUUGGGGAAAAUACCACAUUUCCCACCGGUGCUAAAUACUACUGCUAGACACAAGCUCAAAACGCGUUAGGAAUCCACCACAAACAUCACAAGGGUCUAUCAUGAAGACCAAAUCAAAUCGCUUUCUCAUUUAUCAAAUCACAAUCAAUUUAUGGAUUUCUAACUUGGCUUAAAUCAAAUUAAUAUUUCUCAAUAUCAAAAUGUGUCAAUUCAUUAAAUCAUGACAACAUCAAUAACUUUGAGGAAAUAUCAAGACUCAUUGUAACAACUAAAUCUCAUGAAUUAAUAUACUCAAUAAUCUAGUUUGUCAUAAGGAAUCUUAAAGCUUGACAAAUAUCUUGACAGUACUUGAAAUAUCAACUCAUGGUAGAAAUAUGAAAUUCACAAUAUUAAAUGUCAAGUAAUACCUUGGGAAUAGUAAAAUAAUCAUGUAUAACAAAGCUUGAAGAAUUUAUAUUCUCAUAGUCUCAUGCUGAAGUAAUUUGGGUAUAAACCUACUUGCAAAAUUAUAUAAAUCCAUGAUAGGAAUCAAAGCUUUGGGCAUAAGAACGAAAGCAUUGCUCUUGUUCAAAAUCCCACAUACCUUGGAUUAUAACUUUAAGAUGAAAAGAAUUGAUUGGAAACUCUUCUUUAAACUUUUGAGCUAAGUUUCUUGAUGCCUUUGACUUGGAGAACUUGAUUCUUCAAAAACUUGGUGAAAUCUAUGAAAAAAUUCUUGAAUUUCUUGAAGAAGAUUUGAUUUGGAUUUGGAAGAGAGAAACCAUAGUUCUAGAUAUUUCUUGGAAGAGAAAUGGAGAAGAAUGGAUUUCUCUUCUCUACUUGAAUCUAUAUAUUGAGGGCCAAACUGGGCGGAAAGACCAAAAUGCCCUUGAGUAAAUUCUAAUACUGUAGCCCGAUUUUUGGCCUUGGAGCGGCACUCCAUGAUCGCAAUCCUUCACUGGAUUUUGGUAAACUGAGAAUUUGCUUUGUAGGGCGAUGCAGUGAAAUCGUGUUGCCCCUUGGUUAUGACCUGAAAGGGCACCGCGACACGGUGGAAUCACGUUGGUGCACUAGAAUUUGACAAUCCUGAUAUUGAGCCUUGGCGCGAUGCGGUAAUAUCAUGGAGGCUAACUGAAAAGUGAUAAUUGGGAUAUUACUCAUCUCCGCGACAUGCUGAGGGUCUAAAUAGCAAAGUUUCCCAACUGGGACUUCAGAUAGUCAUAACUUCUUGCUCCGAUCUUCGAUUUUGAUGAAAUUGGUAUCGACGGAAAGCUUAUUCAAAUAUCCACAUGAUAGAAAGUAGAAAUUAGGGGAAUAAAACAUGGUUUAAACAACAUUCACUUUGUAAGUCUUUUCCAUUUGCUCAAAAGACGAAUUUAGGCUUACGAAAUGGUCGGGGUAUUACAUACCUUUACAAAGAAAUUUGGUUAAAAAUAGGUGAAAAUCACCCAAAUCCCCUAAGCCCUUCCCAAAAUGAUUUUAUAAAUAAUAAACCAUUUUUGGGUACUUUUCUGCAUAAAUCUACAUAUAUCCUGCUAUUUUAACCUUGCUAUAUUAGAAUUCACUACUAUGGUAAAACUAAUCUAUGUUGACUGCCGCUAUAGUGAGAAACUUUACGAAAUAUCAACAUUAUCAUAGCAACCUGCCACCUGCUAUAGCAGGUGUGGUGAGGCAAAAGCUCUAGAUUGCUCUUAAUUUUUCCUUUUCCUCAAUCCACCCCCGAACUGUGACAUUCCGGACUAACUCCUUUAUAUUUGAUUUGAUAUCGGGAGUUCUACUUACCCGAAUUCACUUUCAAAAACUCCUACGAAUUCUUUAUCUUCUUACCUAACAUAAAAAUAAGCUAAAUCUUUUCACAUUUACUAAAUUUGUAUUCAUAUUUUCCUAGACUAUGCCUUACUCGGAUUUCAUCCAAGGCUAGCCUAGCCUAAUAUUUUUAACUCCCAACACGGUGAAAAACUUAUCCCAAAUUUUGUAUGCCAGACUCACCUGUAACUACGAAAAGUGUUGUUACAAUAGACUUAUAGAUUGCUUGGAUUAAUUAUCGAAUUGAAUUAUGUUGUUAUUUCAAAUACCAUAUAUUUCUAUUUUUACUUAUAUUUUAAUGUAUUAUAUCCUUAAAUUUAUUUAUUGAAAAAGACAAAAUUUUUCAUUUUGUGUGAUGAGCGACUUGGUGUCACCCCAUCAUUACCUUAUUUGUUUUUUCAUAUAUCUUCAUUUUCCUAUUUAAAUAAUGAUCGAUUUCAUAUGGAACAUGAAUAUAUGUGAUUUAUCAAAAUGUCAGCUUAGGAUAUUUUGUUAUCUUAUGUAUAAAAUAUGAUUUGUUUGUUUAGUAAGAUUAUAUAAGAAUUGAGAAAAUUUUGAUAGUUUUCACAAUUUAUUAAAUUCUCAUGUUUAAAAAAAAUAUACAACUUUAAGAAAUCCAAAUUGCAUUUCCAUACAAACUUCAACUUCAUAUCAUUUUAUUUGAAGGAAUCCAUCUAUAAAUACCUAAUGUUAGCAUGACACUUUACUUAAAAAACACAACUAAUUCUUGUACCAUUUAAACAUCUAAAGUAAGUUCAAUUUUUGUCAUUUUGACACUUUCACUUGGAUUGUUAUCUGAUUUUUCACCUCAAAUAUGCAUGUGAAGAGCCUAAAAAUAGAUUUGUUGUGUUCUUAUUCUUUUUAUUUCCUUCUUCUUCUUUAUUUUUUUCUCUUUCUUCUUUACUUAAUAUUCUAUCAUUAACAAUAUUUCACCAUUGUUAUUUUAUCUACCGAAGUAAAUGGAAACCAUCUCUAUUUACUAAAAAUAUGUGACAUUUUUUUUGUAAAAUAUUAAUCAAAAGAUGAAUUUUAAGUUCGUAAAAUAAAUUAGCCAGAAAAGAAUAUCACCCUACCCUUAUUCUUCUUUUCUUUAUUUUUUCUUUACCAUUAUGUCUGUCACUACACACCACUAAUCCGUGUUGCUAUUUUUAUUACUAAUGAUACCACUAAAACUUUAAUAAUUAACUUUUAAAAAAAAUUAACUCACUUACAAAUUAUAUAGAAAAACCAUGAAAGAUCUAAAUGCAUGCACAAAGUCAGAGAGAUGCAACAUAAUCUUACAACACUUGACACAAAAAGAGCACUUGCCAAUUCUUUAUGUCAAAGAUACAAUUCAGCUUAAACAACCUUUUUUCAUUCAUAUGAACCAAUGACAUUUAGAGAUUCGAAAUAGCCAGCUAUGUGAAAUUGGACCAUGAGUGUUAACAAAAUAAGGAGGGGUGCCUAUUUUCCAAAAUCCACAAAUAAACAAGGAAUUAGCCAAUGCUUUCUAUAGUCUAAUCGAGUAACACACAAAAACAAAACCUAAGCAUGCUGAUUCUCCUAGAUAACAACCGAGGGAAAAGAAAAAUGGUGAUAAAAACUCGUGAAUGUUGGCAGAUCCAUAGGUACUCCACCCCGACCAAAGAAACAUACAUUAACCGUAAUGCUUCCAAUCAAUAAAUAAGAACUAGGAGAAAGGAAUACCUAUGAACCUUUAAGAUUUAAUGUCUAGCAAGUCUGUGGAGGCCAUAGUAGCCUCAAUAUCUACAAUAGUGACCCCAGUGUCAACUGGAGUACUCAAACCAUCCACAACCUUCUCGAUCACCAGAGUGACAAUAGGCAACAUCAAUAGUGUGAACCCAACUCUAGCUAUCAAGAUAGAAGAAAAUCCCAUUAUCCAGUAUUGUUCACUCUUCUGCAACAAUUUCUCAUCUUUCCUGGAGGCUUUCAUAGCCUUCUAUAAUUCUCUCUUCUUAGGUGUCUCAUCCUAAUAGUUUUUUCUCUUAGAUUUUCUCUUUCCUUUACCUUUACUUGGUGCCUUGUCCUUACCACAUUAAAUUAAGUAUUUAGUUAUCAUUAUCUGAUUCAUAAUUGAGCGAUUAGGAAAUCUAGUAAUGGGGGCCUUUUUCAAUGUGGCAAUGUUAUCUUGAGCCUUUUUAAAUUCGGUGGUGAACUUGGACACAUUUAGAAUUGAGAAUUCUAUUAGCAUGUGAUUCACCCUCUAAUGCACAUCAUCUAUAUGGGAAUGUAGAUUAGCAUAUGACUUCUAAGUCUCUGCAACAACUACAUCCAUAAGUGGAUUUAACUACUUAGCCUAAGUAUCCAACUACUUUUCAAAUUACUUUUACUUCUUGACCACCACUCAUAAAAUUUUUAGGUUGUGAAUUGAUAUUUAUAAUAAUCAUAUGGUAUGGAGGCAGAGUAUGUAGUCUCAACAAUGAGGGAUAUAACAACUGUCUCAGAUACAACAGAAGCAUACUAUGAGAGUACCAGAUGCCUCUAGAGUGGUUUGAGACUGAGGUCCAAAUUAUGGCAGCUUAUAAACCAUUAACUCAAACUUUGUCUUAUCUCUGGUCUUGUCAAUGUCUUACUUAUUUAUGGAUCAUACUUCAUUAUCCACUCUACUGAUGUUUGACACUUUUGCCUGUAUACAUCGCUCUAUGAUUAUACAAAGGAAUGGCAAUGAAUUUGCAAUCUUGACAGCCUAUACAAAUAGCUUAUGACUAAUAAAUUAGCCAAAGUUGAUUUUUAGUCAUUCCACCAAACAUAUAGUUAUUAUAGCACAUUGCUCAUCUAGGUUGGUAUCACUAGCUAUAGGCAUCAAUCAUAACCUAAUCACAACCUACUGGAACUUUUUUAUGAAACUCAGGGAUGAUUUGGCUAACUAUUCUUUACUUUUUAACCAUAAGGGAUCUCUACUCUCUAUCAAUAUCUGAGCCAUCUAUGGAUGCUGAGUAGAAAGUUAAUCAAACUCUUGGGGUGAUAGCUGGCGGUGCCUAAAAUUUCCCCUAUGAAAUAUGAUUGAUUGUACGCUCAGAGGUGUCCAUAAAAACCCCACGAAUCAUAACUCUCUCACCAAAUUUUCCAUGUCACUAACCUUUUUACCGUUUGGGAAAUCCUUCUUGAGCAUGGCCAAGUAGUUUGUAUAACAUUCAUGGAUGAUGGUAGGGUAAUAAGUCUCAAGUGGUAUACUCAGAAGGCCUAACUCAUACUCAUUGAAUUGUCGUUCAAUGUCUAGAUACUCUAGCAGGUCAGUUGUUACUAUAUGAUAUUCCUUAGAAAAUGACCUCUUCAUGCUUCUUGACUUGGUUGGUUCAAUUCCAUCAAAGUAAUGUAUUUUUGCCCCAUCAACCUGCCACCUAAUGUACUUUUGCACCCCAGGAUUUUUUCUUUGAAUUACGUCUCUAUUUUUUGUUCAAGUUCCUUUUUUGGACUAUUAGCAACUUCAGUUUAAUCCUUUUCAUAUGGGUUAGUGCUAGAACUAUUACUGCUCUCCCCAUCACUACUUUAUUUCUCACUUGACAACCCAUCUUUCUCUUUAGAUUGGGAGUUUUGAGUGUGUUUGCUAUCACUUUGCCUAGUGUUGUAGGCUAGUGCCUCUAUAUCCUCAAACUCAUUAUCUAGUUCAUAUCUAAGUCUCGAGGGUUAGGUAUAUCUUUCUUUCCUUUUCCUUGCUCUACCUUUUGUUGUUUGAAGAUUUUAAGGCAUGUUACCAAUAAAGAGAAACAAUUAAACAUUGCACAAAACAAAAAGCAUCAAUUAAUAUUGCACUAUAAUAACAUUGCAUCUUUUUGAUGAUUAGGGGUAACGAUUCGUCACAUAGGUGAUGACUCGCCAACCUUUUUUGUUAGUUCUUUCUAUAUUAUUAACCAUAUAUUAAGGAUGACCUUGACAAGUUGUCAUAAGUCUGAUGGUUUGUUAGAUGAACCAUUAGACAAAAAUAAAAUACUACAUAACUUUCUCUCUUUUGGUGGUUUAGCUUGGUGAUCCAUCACCUUUGUGAUAGUUCAUCACCUGAGUCGUCAAUAUUUUCCAACAAAUUAUUUAUUCAAUUGGAGUUUUAUCAAAUGUAUGAUGCACAUAUAAGAUCCAUAAAAUUUUAACAAUUUUUUUUGACCUCAUCGCGUGCAUAAUGUUAAUUUUUGACUUGAAUUAUGAUUUGGGAUGUUAAAAGGGUGUUUUGGGAAAAUUUUGAAUUUUUAAAAGGAGUUCAGGGUUAUUUUGAGAUGUCGAGGCAAUAAAACUCUAUGAUAGUAGUAUGCCACAGAAGGUUAACCUUUGUAAUAAGGGCGUGGCAUGGAGGCUAACCUCCGCAAUAAGGAUGUACCUCGCUCCUAUGUUAAAUUCAUUUAGUUUUUAUUUUUUUCACUUGGGGUGAGGGCCUUUUAGUAUUUUUACCACUUGUUCAACUUAUAAACAUAAAAUAACCCUCUUCCCUUCAGUUUUAAAAGAUCAAAAUCCUUUGUUUUCCUCUUUAACUGAAAACCCAAGAACAUUCAAGGGUUUUACAAGAAAUCACUACUCUUGGCUCCAAACUUCAAUUUUUAUUCAAAUUCUUUAGUAUUUCAAGUAUGUUUCUCAUUCCUUAACUUUAAUUUUACAUUGUGUCAUUAAUUUGUAAUAUGCAUAUGACUUAAAUUGAUGGUUUUAAAAUUGGGUUAAGGGCUUUUGGUUGUUUUUACAUGAAGUACUUGUCCCAUGUUUUAAAUGAAUUAUUUAUGUUUUAAUUGAUGAUUUUAGGAAUGAAUUGGUGCAUCGCUGAUGGUAGGAAUGGGGGACAUGAAUUUCCCCAAUUUGACAAAAGUUUGGCUUGAUAAUGACAUUAACCUCAACCCACUUUGUAAUCUUGAUUUUGAACAUGAAUAAUUGCAUAAUUUAACUUGUCUUUUGUAGUCACUUCAUUGUAUUAAAGGAUAAAUGGAUAAAUAUGGUUUUGGAAAGCCUUGAUGGCCAUGGUUUUGGAUUUUGAAUGGAGAUUGGGAGUCAAACAAUUAUGUGGAUUGGUUUGGCAUAAUUGAAUUAGCUUGCAAAUAUAUUAAUAUGGUGAUAACAAGUUGGUAAAUGCCUUAAUGAAGGACUCCUGGGUUACUGGUUAGCUUAUGUGAAAACUAUUUUAAUUUGGUCUUAAAGAAAAUUAUGUAGCUCACCGUAAAGGUGUAGGUCCCGAGGGGAUCAAAACUGGAAACAACCUUUGUCGGCAUUGGGGGUCUAUAUGACCGUAUUCUUGGUGCACACAUUAUGUAUGCAUAUAUAUAUAUGGGAGGGAUAUAAACUUGGUGCCUUUAUCCCUUUCCUUGAUUUUCCUCGAUUCUUACAACUAACACACACUGAUGCCCUUCCAGUAGGGGGAUCUUGUCCCAUAUAUUCCAUGGGUUCCUUUAGGACAGAGCAAGCUACAUAGGUCAGGCUAACAUUUUAAACUCUCACAUUUAUGAAUCUUGUCCCUAUCCCUACAUGCUAUAUACAUAUACACACACACGAAUGUGGUGCAUAUGGUUUACAACUGGAUUUUGGUAAAUACAUUAUUUUAUCCCUAUACCCUGAGUUACAUGCUAGUGCUCGUCCUAUUGACCGUCCUUGAACACUGCAUCAUUUUAUGAUUUGGGUUCGGAGGACUUUUUUAGUGCUCCUGUGUAGUGUUAGGUGGUUGAGUACUUCUGUUGAUUAUCUAUAAAGUGGUGAGCCUUUAUCCAAGGCUUGGCCAUUUCAUUGGUUUCAUUACUAUUUUAGUCUUUCUUUUGGACCCUUUUUGGUAUUUUUGGAUUAGAUGCUUUUGUGGACAGAAGUGGGAUAUUAUUGAUGUCUUGUUUUGACUCUUACAUUUUCUUUUGGUAUCAUUUAUAUAUCAUUUGUUUGGUUGGCUUCCACUGUUUAAUAUUAAUGUGCUCUUGAGGUAAGCCUAAGAGGGUGGUCUCCAGUCCAUGGUAAGCUUGAGAUUACCUGUCAAGGCCAUGCCUGAGUUCAUGCCAUGAUACACACCUUCUACUUUUUAUUUAGAAUUCCGAGUUUCAACUUAUUUUUACAUUUCCAAUCAGACAAGUAUCAAGCUUGUACCCGAGUUACAAAGACCACCCAUUGGUUUCCCAAAACUCAAACUUGAGUACAACACAACCCUUUUUGAGUUUAGGCACAAAUAGUGGUGGCUAUGUUGUCCUUAAUUCAAUAAUCAUAUAAAAUAAAAACGAGUAAAAAAUAUGUACACUAAAUUGAGAUCAAAAUGACUUUGAGCACAUCUAAGAGUUGGAUGAAUAAGAAAAACUCCUGUCAAAGAUCUUAAGCACAACGCUAUGUUUUUGGAAAAAGAAAUAGGUUUUAUGGGAUUUGGAUGGGGUAGAGAUUAGAUUUUGUAGUGGCUUUGUUUGAGAAAUGGAAAUGAAUGAGCAUGGGUGAGGUAACCGUUAUAGGAGUUAUGGUUUUUUUAACAAUGGGAAGUUAUUAUGGUAAGGGAAAGGACUUAAGAUAGCAAUCCGAUCAAUUAACUUGUACUAUAAAAAGGCUUUGGUUAGAAUAGGGUUUUGGUUUUUGUUUAGGUUACUAUUGGGUUAAGGUUUUAUUAUUGUUGGAUUCAAGUUGUUUCGGGUAUGCGUUUGAGUUAUUGAAUUGAAAUUAAAAUGAUAAGUGAACUUACUCGUGACACUUAGGCUGAUGGUCCGUCAAGUAACUGAAGGUUCACUAAGUGCAUCAUCAGGAUUAAGUGGAUUGUAUUACAAGUAAGAUAGCUCUAAUGGUUGGGUUGCUGGUUCAUCAUCAUAGUGAUGGUUCGUUGCAUGAACCAUCAACCCUUAAUCAAAAUGACUCAUUUCUUGACCCUUUGUGUCGGUUUCGUUGAUGGUCCAUCAGAGCUUUGAUGGAUCAUUGAGUGGUCCACCAUACCUUAACCAGAAUGAUUGACUUUCUUAUAUUUUAUGGUAUCUCAUUAUGGUUUGCCAGUUCAGUGAUGGCUCAUCAAAAUGACCCAUCAACCUUAAACAAUAUCCAAUUUAAAUCUUCUUCUCUUAUAAUAACUUAGCCUUCACACUUAGCACACACAUCAACUAUGAUCAUGAUUAACAACCAACAAAAAAAUUAUUCUACAACAACAAAAUAUGGGUUGCCUCUCACUAGAACUUGAUGUAAUGUCAUGAUAUAAGUCGGGUAUGUUGACUACUCAGACGUCGUUAAGAUACAAUAAUGGCAACAUCUUUACUUUUUUAGAUGGGCCAAUAAUUUCUUGAUUCAUUGACCAUUCACUUUAGACAUCUUUCCAUCCUUAUUUUCCAACUGUACUACACCAGAUAGAUACACCCAACCACUUUAAAUGGUAUGGACCAUUUGGAUUUCAACUUUAUGGAAAAUAACUUAAACCCCGAGAUGAACAAUAACACUAAGUCACCCGCUUUGAAAUCUCUCUUGUCAAUCCUCCUGUCAUGGUACAACUUUAUUGUUUCCUUAUAGAGGGCAGCCCUUUCACAAGCACAAAGUUAAAGCUCAUCCAUUUUAUUCAACUGUUACAACCUAAAGUCAGCAACCUCAUUUCAACUCAGAUUAAGCUUUUAGAGUGUACACAAGGCUUUAUGCUCAAGUUCUACCAUCAAAUUACAAGAUUAACGAAAGACUAUUUGGUAAGGAGACAUACCUAUUGGUGUCUUGAAAGUAGUGAAAUAAUCCCUUAGAGCAUCAUCAAGUUUUAGGGACCAAUCACUUUGAUUAGUUUUCACAAUUUUGGCCAAUGUCAUCUUGAUUUAUUGAUUUGAUAUUUUUACUUGUCUACCAGAUUGUGGAUGAUAUGGAGUUUCCACUUUGUAUUGUUUCACUCCAUACCUAGCUAGAUCUACACAAAAAACCUUUUUGCAUAAGUGGGAUCCUCUAUCACUGAUAAUUGUGUGAGGAGUACAACAUUAAAAGAAAAUGUUAAUUUUCAAGAACGUCACCACACUGUUGCCUUUAUUAUCUGCUUCGGCCAUAGAUUCCACCCAUUUGGACACAUUGUCCACUACCACCAGGAUAUACUUCUAACCAUAGGAACUCACAAAUGGACCCAUAAAAUUUUUUUCACACAUGUCAAAUAAUUCCACCUCUAACAUCUCGGACAUGGGAAUUUCCUGAUGUUGCAAGAUUGAUCCCUCUAGCUGGAAUUGAUCAUAAGCUUUGACAAAGUCAUGGGUAUAUUUGUGAAUAGUGCUCUAGUAAUACUCACUCUACAAUAUCUUUCUAGCCAUGGGAUCAUCUGCAUGAUGUCCCCUCUAGGGAUGAGUGACAGGCUUGCAAAAUACUUAGCGUUACAAACUUUGGCAUAUAUCUCCAAAUGAUAUUAUCAACACAUGAUAUAAACAUAUAAGGUUCAUCCCAAAAGUAAUUUCUCACAUCAUGUAUAAAUUUAUUUCUUUGAUGGAAGCUCAAGUCUUUUGGGACCAUGUCACUAACCUAGUAUUUAGCAAAAUCUGCAUAGCAGGGUAUCAGGUAAAGAGAAGUGGAAAGUCUUUGUUCAUUCAUAAAUAAAUAAUCAAUCUAUAAUUUAUUCCCUCAUUCUAAAGUCGAGAUAAAUGAUCUAGUACUUUAUUUUUUGCACCCUUUCCAAUCUUUGACUUCAAAAUCAAAUUCUUAUAGCAGUAAAACCAUUUAAGUAGUUGAGGCUUAGCAUCUUUAUUAGCCACCAAGUUCCAAAAAGCAUCAUGAUCAGUAUGUACUACAACCUUUGUUCCCAACAAAUACACCCAAAAAUUCUCAAAGACUUAGACAAUAACUACUGGAUCCUAUUCAGUAAUUGUAUAAUUCUAUAGCACCCCAUUUAGUGCCUUGCUUGAAUAAUAAACAAGGUGAAAAAUCUUCUCUUUUUUUGCCUACGAACAGAUCCAAGUGCAACCCUAUUUACAUUACACAUCACUUCAAAUAGUUUAGACCAAUCUGAAGCAAUGCUAAAAGGCACAACUAAUAUUAUUUCCUUAAGGCAUUGGAGUUCCUUUAAGCACUCAAUAUUAAAUAUGAACUUAGCUUUUUUUUUUCUAACAGUUUGUACAAUGGAUCGGCAAUAUUGGAGAAUUGUUUAAUAAACAUCAGGUAGAACUCCACAUGAUCGAGAAAACUUCUAACUCUAUUCACCAAGACUAAUGGAGGUAGUUAUUGAAUAAAAUCUAUAUUCACUCUCUCAACUUCAAUUACCUUUUUAGAAAUCUUGGGUCCUAACAUGAUGCCCUCUUUAAUUAUAAAAUGACAUUUUCCCCAAUUGAGCAUAAGAUUGAAUUCCUUACAACUUUGUAAGGCAUUGUUCAAAUUUGUCAAGCAUUUAUCAAAAGAAUCACCUACCAUAGAAAAGUCAUACAUAAACACUUCUAAAGUGUCUUUUCCCAUAUCUGAGAUAAUCCACAUCAUCUUUUGGAAGGUUAACGGAUCAUUACAUAGCCCAAAAUACAUCUGCUUGAAGAAAGAUGUCCUAUAGGGGAAUGUAAAUGUAGUCUUUUCUUGGUCAUUGGGAUUAGUGGAUAUUUGAUUAUGCCCUGAAUAACCAUAUAGGAAAUAUUACCAAACCUUUCCUACCAACUAAUUGAGCAUUUGAUCGAUAAAGGAGAUAGGAAAUGGUCCCAAAGAGUCCAAGAAUGAAGCCUUCUAUAAUCCAUAGAUAUCAUCUAGUCGAUGACAUCUCUAAACAGGAUCAAUUCAUUCUUUUCAUUAACCAAGACAGUCAUACCUCCCAUCUUAGGGACACAUUGAACUGGACUUACCCAUUUAUUAUCUAAUAUUAGGUAAACAACCCCUGCAUCAAGCCACUCAAUUAUCUCUUUCUUUACCACUCUUGUAUUGGUGGGUUAAGUCUGCACUAAUGCUCAAUCAUGGGAAUACAAUAUUAUUCUAACUAAAUUUUAUACACACAAAUGCCAGGGGAAUCCCAGUGAUGUCCGUAAUCAUCCAUCCGAUAGCCUUUUUGUACUUUCAUAGUACAAAAAAGUGCUUCUACUUGUCAUUCUACCAUGUAUUCAAUAAUGAACACUGAUAAAGUGUUUUUUCCCAUGGAGAAAUAUGUAUCUUAAAUCGCCUAUAAAAUCUCUUAACUCUAAUACUACUGGUUCCUUAAUAAAUGAAUUUUCCGGAAGGAGUUGACAUAUUUUUCAAGUCCAGUCUAAAUUCUUUGAGACCUAAGAGUAUGACCUCAUUUCUUCAAAAAGACUAAACAUUUUCUCAUAAUCUUUGAUGUCCUCUUGUAGAAAUUCAUCAUUAUGUAGCUAAGGUUUCAACAAAAAACCUUUCUUCAAUAGGUACCUUCUUAUCAACCUCAUCAACAACAUCGAUAACUGAGAUGACAUUUCUAUUCCUAUGUUGCUUCAUUGACUAGAAAAUGUUGAACUUCACCUUUUUUUCAACCUAAAUUUUAACUCAUUGUACUCUAUGUCAACACAACACUCUUCCAGCAGUUAAGAAAGGUCUACCCAAGAUUAUGGAUACCUUAAAAUCCACCUCACAAUUAAGACUUGGAAAUUUAGUUAGGAAUAUAAAGUUUACAACCUUUGCAUGCAUAUCAUAUAGUACUCCCACUGGCCACUUGACUAAAAAAUCAAAGAUAAAUAACUACAUAGACAUUAGCUUGGGGGGUCCUAAGCCCAACAGCUGAUAGAUGGAUAGAGAUAUCAAAUUAAUGCUUGCUCUAAGAUCAUAAAAUACCUUAGCGAAGUUGAUAGAAUCGACUAAGUGGACACCUAGUUGGGCAAGCUAAUGAACUUCCUGAACUAAUCUCUUCUUCUCAUUCUCCACAUAAGCAACACUACCCAUGGACAUCUAACUGAGAGCAUCAACCAAUACAUUGUCCUUGCCUAAAUAAUACGAAACACUCAUGUCAUAGGCUUUCAACAACUCCAACCACCUUCUUUGACGGAGGUUUAGGUCUUUCUGAGAGAACACUUACUGAAGGCUCUUAUGGUCCGUGAACACAUCAACAUGUACCCCAUAAAAAUAUGCCUCCAAAUCUUUAAGGCAAAUACUACAGCUGUUAACUCAAGAUCAUGAGUAGGGUAGUUCUUCUCAUGAGGCUUAAGAUGUCUAGAGGCAUAGGCUAUGGCCUUACCUCUCUGCAUCAAAACACACCCCAAAACAACUCUGGAAGCAUCACAAUAUAUCACAAACCCAUCUAAACUAUUCGGUAGAGUCAAAAUUGGGGUUGUAGUGAGUUGAGUCUUAAAAUCCUGAAAACUCUUCUCAUAAGAAUCUGACCACUAGAAUUUUACUUUCUUUUGGGUCAAUCUGGAUAUGGGGGAUGCAAUAAAUGAAAAUCCCUCAACAAACCGUCGGUAAUAGUCAGCCAAACCCAAGAAACUCUUGAUAUCUAUCAGAGAAAUAAGCCUGGGCCAGUUUUUACUGCUUUGGUCUUUUGAGGAUCCACUCUAAUGCCAUCACCAAAAACUAUAUGACAAAUGAAUGCUACUGACCUUAGACAAAAUUCACACUUAAUGAGUUUGGCGAACAACUGAUGGUUUUUUAGAGUCUGUAAUACUAUUCUAAGAUGGUCUGCAUGAUUAUACUCACUACGGAAGCAGACAAAAGUGUUAUCUAUGAAGACUAUGAUGAACAAGUCUAAGUACUACUUGAACACACGGUUCAUCAAGUUUAUGAAAGUGGCUGGGGCUUUGGUAAGACCAAACAACAUGACUAAGAAUUUGAAGUGACCAUAUCGAGUUCUGAAGGCUGUCUUUAGAAUGUCAAAUUCUCUGACUCUGAGCUGAUUAUAGCCUGAUAUAAUGUCUAUCUUAGAAAAGUAACUGGCACCCUAAAGUUGGUCAAACAAGCCAUUAAUUCUGGAAAGUGGAUACUUGUUCUUGAUUAUGACCUUAUGUAGCUAGUGAUAGUCUAUACAUAUUCUAAGAGAACUAUUUUUCUUACGCACGAAUAGAACUGGUGCACCCCAAGAGGAUACACUGGCUCUGAUGAAUCCCUUAUCUAGGAGAUACUUACACUGCUCUUUUAACUCCUUGAGUUCUGCUAGAGCCAUUCUGUAUGGUGGAUGAGCUAUGGGCUGAGUAUCUAGAAGAAGGUUUAUUCAAAGUCAAUUUCCUUCUUGGGAUGAACUCUGAGAAGAUCUUCGGGAAACACAUCUGGGAAUUCACAUGCAACUAGAACUAACUAAAGCUGGGUGUAUCGGAACUAGAAUCCUUAACUCAAACGAGAUGAUAGAUACAUCCCUUAGAUAUCAUUUUUCACACCCUUAGGUUAGAAAUAAGCUAACCCCUGAGUGCUGAGCUACUACACCUCCAUUCUAGGAUAGGUUUAUUCCAAAACUAAAAUUAGAUAAUUCUAUUUCUACAGUCAACUGAAGCAUAGCAUGAAUAAAGCCAAUCCAUGCCGAUAAUGAUAUCAAAAUCUAUCAUCUCUAAUUUAACUAAGUCCACUGAAGUGACAUUCUAAGAUACUAUAACCGAACAGUUCCUGUAUACCCAUCGAGCUAUGAUAGAUUUAUCUACUGGAGUAGAGACUGAGAAAGCCUCUGCUAGAAUUUUGGGACUGGCUCCAAAGUCAACAACUAUAUAAGGAGUUACAAAAGACAAAAAAGCUCCUGGAUCUAGCAAAGCAUAAAUAUGAAAAUGAUAAACUUAUAAUGUACCAGUGACCACAUUAGGAGAACUCUCCUGAUCCUGUUGGGACUAAAGUGCAUAGAGUCUAUUUGGACGUUCCCACUGGUAGCACUGGAAGAAGCACCCUGCUGAUUCGGGCUACUGGACUGAGCCGGGGGAUGAUUAUGCUAACUCCAUAAACACACCUGAGGUCAUUAUCUGACCUUGUGGCCUGGAUUGCCUUAUUCAAAACAUAUAUCUCUGCUAGCUCUACGGAUACCCUGAUAGUUUCUACCACACUUCUAGCAGAGAGGAUUCAUUCGGGCACUAUUAACACUACCUUGGGGAUUAGCGCCUAAUGCUCUAUCUCUAUUGUCGUCUCUGAAUUUUGACAUUGGAGCACUGUCUAAGGAUGGAGCUGGGACUGAAGACUUCUGGCGGAACUGAGGACGAUUACCAUCCUUUGACUUAGGUUGGGUGAAGUUGAAGCUACCUGUUCUAGCUCUCUUAUUUUCCCUUUACUUCUCCUUAUUCUUAGCCUCCUCUAUCUGCUGAGCAUGGACCAUGAGCCUGGAUAUGUCUAUCUCCUUAAUCAGUAUUACGGUCCUACACUCCUUUACCACACUAUUAGACACGCCAGACACAAACUUACUCAUCUUAGAUUUGUUAUCUGCUACUACAUGAGGGGCAUAUCUAGCUAAGUAACCUUGAAAGAAUACUCUUGUACUAUCAUGUUUUCCUGCUUUAGAUUAAUAAACUCUAAAACCUUCACUUCUCUCAACUCUAGUGGGAAGAUCCUAACCAGAAAAGCAAUAGCAAACUUCUCCCAUUCUAUGGGCCCUGUAUCUGUGGCCCUCUUUGCUUUCCACUGUUUGAACCAUGAGUGAGCCAUAUCUUGUAAUAGAUAUGCGACCAACGCAGAUCAAGAAAUUCCUGUGGGUCCUUAUCUAACUUUGACUUAGUAAAAGAGGGAGGGUUUAUUCGGCUGAAGUCUCGAAUCCCAGCUGCAGCAGUAUUAGCCAUUAGGUUGGCCAAAAUGAUAAUUGGACAUUUAUUCUGGGCUGCCACAAAAUGAGCUAGGGUGGUAAAAGUUGCUCUGAAUUCCACGUGGGAGACAUGCUCAUCUAGAGGAUCUGGCUGGAUGAGAUAAGGUGCUAGCUAGUCUCUUAUUCCUCUUCCCUUAGUCUUUUUUAGAGGCAUGUUUAAUAAACAGAAUGGAAAAGGAUUAGACUAAGAGUUUAAUUGGAGCUCAUGCUCACUCGAACCACAUGAAUACUAAAAGAAGGGAAAAUUUUCCUAAGACAUCUAAUAGCCUCCUGUCCAUAAGUGUGGCACGCUAUACACCCAUGCACAAGACUUGACUAGAUAUGACUUUCAGACUUCCUAGGACUCUAUUAAACCUUAGUCUUUGAUACUAAGUUUGUAGUGCCCCGAGUCUGUACUCCAGAUGCUACAUGGUGCUAGCGACCCCGAAGGACCACCAGUUAACCCAUGAACAGUAUCUACUGUGAGCACUGAAUAAUAAUAACACUGUAAAAUUAAUAUAAUUGAAAUAUGUGCGAAAGUUAGGCUAAAAAAGCCUUAAAGACCAAUACCGAAUACUGAAAGCUGAAUAUUGAAAAACUAAAAAAUCCAUCUAAAAUACUCUAUUCUGAAAGCCUCUAAUUGUCUGAAGUAUAGAGCUGAUGGGACAAGCCCCCAACUAACUCGACUACUAAAAACUGUACUAAAAUACUAAAAUAACAUUCUAUCCUUAAACUAUGAGAACUCACCACUAAGUCUAUUUCUAAUAGGCUGCACUGCUAAGUACAGUCAGGAGCCCGUGCAUCUGAACCUAUGAUAUAAUACAUCAUAGCACAAAAGAAAGGUAUGCGUUAGUACUUUGAAUGUACUAGUAUAUUAAGUAAGGUAGACUGAUAUGCAUGGGUUCAUAUGUAUGAACAAUAACUGACUGAGUAACAGGAACAUCACUGAAUUAGAGAACAUGCAUGGAUACAUAAAUUGUAACUGAGAUCAUGUUAACAUUGGUUACUGGGUUCUGAAUACUGAUUAACUGAUAUCUGAGUUUACUGAUACUGUAAUACUGAUAAUUGAGUGACUGUUUCUGACAAUCCUGAUUAAUAAUUGGGUGACUAUUUCUAAUAGUCCUAAUUCUGUAGAACUAAACUGAGUUCUAUACUAAGUUGGGUGAAUGUAUCUGGCAGCCCUGAUUCUGUAUAACUGAACUGAGUUCUAUUCUGAGAUUAAAACUAAAACUAAAACUAAAACUGAAACUAUUAGAGCUAAUCAUCUAACUGACAUUCCUCUCCCUGAAUGGAUUAGGGUCCAACUUAAAGCCCCAGUUGCAAGGGUGUCAGUACCAUGCCACAGGUAAAGACAAGCUGUGAGUUAACCCUCUCUAACAAGAAGCUCUUUCAUCAACCCUCACUGGCAGGAAAAUUCAUACGAGAUGUAUCAACCCUAAUCUGGCAGGGAGAUAUCUCAACCUACGCUGGCUAUAUUGUUCUGUAACGCAGGGAUUGCUACUAAGGAUCAAACUCUAUGAUGGCCAAAAUGCCCCUAUUCCUGGGUUCGGUCGUACUGAAUCCUACUUCCAACCAACUUCUACCUCCCUUCAUCACAUAAACCCUAAUGCAAUCUACCACAAAACCUGUAGGGAAGAUAUGAUGGAGCUGACUAGGCCCCACUAUCCUGAGAUUGGGCACCCUAUGCUCUAAAGUCGACACCAUCUUGGAAAUGCCUAUCUCCCAACGUCUUUAGGUAGGGAGCACUAGACGUUAAGUAAGACCAAGAAUUGACCCACUUCUUCUUGGGACACUUCCCACCAUCCCUGUUACUCUACUAUUGUCCAUUACCCUACUCGGAGAACCUAAAUUUCUUGCCCUGCCUCUCCCUUAUAUCCUCCUGCUUCUUCUUAUCUUCCUCUACCUUUCACAUGUACACUACCAACAUAGAGAUAUCCAUGUGCUUGAUCAACAAGGUAGCCUUAAUCUCUAAUAUCAAAUCUCUGGACAACCCAGAAGCAAACUUUCUCAUUCUAUCACUCAUGCUAGAAAUCAUCUCUGAAGCAUACCAAGAUAACUAGUGAAACUUUAAGGCAUACUCCUUGACUGACAUUUGUCCUUUCUUUAGAUGGACGAAGUCUUCUACCUUUUAUUCCCUCAACUCUUGAGGAAAGAAGUGGUCUAGGAAAGCAUUAAAGAAAUCACCCCAAAAAUCUAACUCGACAUCUUUACCCUUAGUCUGUUACGAUUCCUUAUACCAUUGGUAUGCUACAUCUUUCAGUUGAUAGGAAACAAAUUCCAUAUUAGUAGCAUAUAUAACAUGAAAUAUCUUUUCCAUAUAAUCCACAAAAGCUUAAGGAUACUUCCAAACCUUACACACCAAUGAACACAAGAGGGUUCAACCUUAUGAACUGGGCAACCCUUCUGGCCUUAGAAGAUGGAGUAACAGAAACACCAUACUCAGCCUGAAAAGCUACCAAAAAACCAACAUAAGGAUAGACUGACACUCAGCAUUCAUUAUAUCAGCCUAAUAAGCUCGAGGAGGACUAGAGAGAAUCGGUGGAACUCCAGGAGGACAAUCAUGAACUGUACCCCUAGAUCGAGUCUGGACCCCAUAAGUAGAAUGGUCCCAUCAAUAUUGUCCUCGGGUAGGAUAAAGGAGUUUCCAUGAGCUUCAUAUCAUUGAGGAUGCAUGAUCUAAAAAGCGAACUAACAAGAAUUAGAGGAGAAUUCAGGACCUUAUACUCUACAGCUCAAAAAUAGAACACAAGAAAGAGAAACAUUCCUAAAUGGCUUGUAGCCUCUACUUUAGGAGUGUGGUAUGCUACACAGUUUUAAAAGAGACCCUAUUCGACACGGCUUUAUGGACUAUUAAGUGACCAUGAGCCCAGGGUUCUGAUACCAAUCUGACAUAACCUAAACUAGCGCCUAGUCAUGUUGGGUUCCUCAAGCCUAACCGGUAUUAGAGACCACCCAAGUACCCAACCAUAAUUGCCCUACACCUUAUGUUGGAUGAAUUUUGAACAUACAACAAGAUAGAUCAAUAAUAAAUCAAAGACAUUAAUUAACUCCUAUAACGAUAAUCCAACAACCUUAAUCAAAUAUCCAACUAGUGUCAUCUCCAAUAGCAAUACCAACCUAAGGCUAACACCAAUACCAAUACCACCCAUGCCUAUAAUAGUCACAUAAAGCCUCUAACUGAAAUCCAAGAACAUUCGAUUGGGAUAUGCCCCCGACCAUAGAUAAAACCAAAGUCCAAGAAAUAAACAAAAGGAUGAAAAGAAAUACAUAGUAUGAAAUGUAGUCUAUCAGAGUAUGGAAGAUCACUACUUUAGUCUAACACAAAGCUGUUCUCGAAUCUAAGUCACUGAGAGGGGGAGUAGUAUGGAUGGUUCCUACAUCGCGUGGGGAUACAAUACCUGAAGAUAGGUUAAUGGGUAGAGUUAGGAUAAAAUAAUGCCAUUAUUCAAAACUAAUGUAAAUAACUAAAUGCAAGAACAUUCAUACAUAUAUUUAUAUUUAUUAUGCUAAGAAAGGGAACCAGGUUUAGGAUGCAUAUAAAACCUUUAACUUGGGUUGUAUAGGUUGACCAUCCUAAAACCACCCAUGGGCUAUAUGGGUCUAGUUUUACCCCCUAGACAUACCCCAGUGUGCGUAGCCGCAUGAACUAGAGAUAUCAUAGGGGACGACAAAUGACAUGUACACUUCUCCCUCCAUGAUACCUAUAUACAAGUAUAAAUUUAAGGGAUUCCUCUAUACCCCACAAGUAUAUGGUCACUAUAGCCAACCCUUAUAUCGGCAAACAUAGGUUUCCAGUGUUCGUCCAGCGAAUUCACACCUUUACGAUUAGCUAUCACAACCCGCCAUUAUUACCAAUUAAUAUUUAGCACAUAGUCAAACCACCAAUUCUAGAAGUCAAGUGUCAAGGCAUUGUGAAGUGGUAUCGUCAUACCAAUUAUAGCUUGCAAGCAAUGUCACUAGCCAACACUUAGGGGUUUCCCAUGUACCCCAUAAGAUUUCUAAUUAAACUAAAACCAUGACCACCAAGGCCUUUCCACCAUUUAAUACCAACCAAACCAAUUUAAUUUCCAUUACCAUAUUAUGCAAUUCAAAGUUUUCAAUAAUAGUCCAACUAUGUAAUAAAAUCUCUCAUAGGCAUUUUGACAAACAUGUUGACGGCAUAAGAUUUUCAAAACCAAAACCAUGUUUCAAUUGAUCAUUCCCAUGAAACCACAUGUUCAAACUACAAUUAUAACAUGAAAACCAUAAGAAAGCAUGGGAAAACAUCAUCCAACCAAAAACAACCCAAAACCCCUAACAUAUUUUCAAAACCUAAAAUAAUAUCAUAAUAAUACUAUGAAAACCAUCCAUUAAAACAUGAUUUUUGUUUAGCCUAUAAUGAGGGAGGAGUGACAUGCCUUAGACACCAAGGAAGAUGAAGAGAUUCACUCUUAAAAGUCCCUAAUUGAUUGCCUUGUAGAAACCCUAGCCUUUUCUUGAACCAAGAGCUUGAGAGAGAUCUGAGAGUGCUUAGAGAGUGUUUAAUUGAGAAUAAUAGAUUAAGAAACCCUCCAAAGGUGUUUUAUAUUGAGGGGUCACAAGGAGUUAAGAGGGGGGAUGUCCAGAAUACCCCUAACUUAAACUUUAAAAUUUUUUGUAGGUGGAUACGAUUUGAAUCCCUUACUUGUACCCACAUUAUACGAGUGAUACCUUCCACUCGUAACUUGAUAAAAAUUUAGACAUCAUAUUCUAUCCAACAUACGACUCCUUAUCCUAACUCGAACCCUGACCAUAUGACUAGUAUCCUUAAGUCAAACCCUAAGCAGAAAUAUCUAGGCUAGACACUAGACAAUAUAUGAUUUGGACCCUACCUCUCGUAUUAUAUACAUACGACUCAUAUGAAGUCUCCUCAUACCAAGAAUAGAACUUGAUCGACAUAAUACUGACCAACAUAUGUCUAGGGUCCUUAGACCCGUAACCUCACCAUAUAACUAUUACGGUGAGUCAUAUUAUCAAUAGAAGGCUCAAACUUACAAAAAUUUUCAAGGUCCAGAACCCAGGUUGUUUCAAGUAUCACCAUUGUUUUUGUUUUUAUUUUGGGUCAUAGGUUGAUGGAAAGUCUGAGUACCAGUGACCCAAACUAAGGAGUAUGGCAAAGACUGAGUAUGGUGUCCUCCUUACCUCUUUAAUGAUCAAGAUGCUACUUGGUAGGCCUAGAGGCCUCAUGGUGUAUUUAUAUCCUUACUUUUAAUUUAUACUUUGGGGAAAAAGUGUAAUUUUAAGUGUGGGGUGGGUAAUCUUCUGAUUGUUUAGGAUAAAGUGCUGCUUUAGGAUUUCCAUUUUAAGUAUUUUUUAGUUUUUGACUAAACUUAAACAAAGUUACAAAAAGAUUUGAUCUAUGUUUAUUUUUAGAUUUUGUUGAUGUUAGUCUAGUGGAAGCACACUUUACCUACCUCAUGGUUUUUCUUAUUGGUUCUUUCCAAGGGGCGCCCUUUGAACUCAGUAACUUAUUUUUACUUUUAAGAGUAAUUUAAAAUUUUGGUCAUUAGGAAUAAAUAAGAUGUUCUUGCUAAGGGAUAUAUAUGAUUACAUGAUUGUAAGCUAGUUUUGAAUGUAAAUCUAUGUACAAUGAGUUGAAUGACUAUUUUUGAGACACCUAGGCUCAUUUAUCUAACUCUUGUGCGAUGUUGGCUUAAUUUUGAAUUCUUGAUAUUGCUUGGUCGAGAUUCUAUAGAGAUCCUUCUUGAUUUAAGCAUGUGUCAUAUUUGAGUGAGGUCUUUUGUUACAUUCCUUGUUGAAUAUUGAUUUCUUAACUUGUCAGGUGUGUAUGCAAAGUGAAAUAAAGAAUAUUAGAUUUAGGAGAAGAUAUAGACAUUUCUUUGAUAGUCAUGUCUUAUACCCUCUUUAUCUACCCUUAUUGCAUUGCACUAGUUAGCCCUAUUAAGCCUUUAUCCUACUCAUUGGUAGCCUUAUAUGCAGCUUAUUCUCUUUUUUUUGAUUGACCAUAAUUUGAUCCAAAGGUUUUAAGAACUUUAGUUGAAAGAUUAAGAUGUUAAGGAGCGUAAAAUUGAAGAAGGAAAAGAGUGAAAGCAAAGCCAAAAAAUAGAAUCUAUUGGUGUGAUAGAAAUAUUUAUGUUUUAAUGGUGCGGAGCAGUGUAAUGGAAAUACCAAUUUAUCAAAAAAUGAAUUAUGUGUUAUUAUUAAAUACUCCUCACUUAAGAUAUGUGAACUAGCUUAAAGAGAUGAGGCAAAACAAAAGUGAAGUGGGAAUAUAAAUGAAACACCCUAAUUUCUAGACCUUAGAAAAUUUCUAGGAAUUUUGAUCUCUGGACCCAAUACGACUCAUGGGUAUGAUCCGUGUUUUGGGGUACGGAUUGUAUGGUCUAGUUGUAUACAGACCAGUAUUGGUUGGUGGGAUGGAUUUUGGUUACUGAAAUGGAUACGACUUAGGGGUACGAGUAGUAUUAGUAGGUAUGGAUCGUUUGGUUCCUUAAAUUAAUCUUAGACUUGGAUACUUAGGUUGGAUAUGAGUACGAAUGGCUCACUAUAAUCUAUAAUCUAGGGUACAAGUCAUACCAAGGACUCGUGUGGUGGACAGUGUCUAAAUCUUUCUUAGGUUUAAAUCUGCCAAGGGUACGGAUGAAUGGUAUAGAUCAUAUGCUUUGGAUACGACUUGAUUGGAUGAGUUGUAUAUUGGAUAGUGUUGGGAGCAAGGGUUGAGGCUCAGGAUACGAGUGGAGGGUACCACUCGUAUAAGAGGGUAUGACUCAAGAGGGUCAGUCGUACCCCUAUGAUGGGAUUUUGUGAAAUUUAAGUGGGGGUAUUCUGGAUAUUUCCCCACUUAUUUUAAUAAGGUCCCACAACUUUUAACCUACUUAGGAGGACAUUUAACCUAUUAUUCUAUUCAUUAUACCUUAGAAACUCUUCUAAACACUUUAUACUUCUCUCAAAUUCUUUUAGGUAAGGGAAACUAGGGUUUCAACUAGAGGAUUGAUUUGGGGCUUGUCUUGGUGAUUUAUUUUCAUCAUCAUCAUGGUUUAAGGUAUGUUAUCUUUCUUCAUUGUUAAUUCUAAAUAGAAGCAUAGUUUUUAUGAAUGUUUGCAUGACUUCAUUGAUUGUAUGAUUUUUGUUUUCAAAUAUGAUUUGGGGGUUUUGAUAUUAAAUAAUUGAUUAUGGUUUUCUAUGGUUUUAAUUAUGUUUUAUGUAUAUUAAUGGUGAUUUUGGAUAAUUAGAUUGCAUGGGAAUGGGUUAUUGGUAAUUGAAAUUGGUUUUGGUUAUAUUAUACCCCCAAUAUGUUUGACAAAAUGCCUACAAUAAUGUUUUCAUUGCAUUGAGUAUUUUAAUGGAACUAUUGCAUAGUUUAAAACUUGGUAAAGGAAAUAUGGAUGGUUUAAAUAGCUUGGAAAGGUAAAUUGCUAAAUUGUUAUGCUUUUGAGGUACAUGGAAUCCCCUAAGUGGUUUAAUGUGAUGAUUGGAUAGGGCACUUGAAUGUCCCCUUAAAGAUAUAAAUGGUUAGCUAUGGAUGAUAUUUGCAAGUAAAUAUUGGUAUGAUGAUACCAAUAUUAAUGGCAUUGGUUAAUAACUGGUUAAUUGGAAAAUGGUUUUAAUUGGGCAUUAGUAGCACGAUGUGUAGCAAAGCCAUGGAAGGUGGAGGUCCCACGGGGAGAAAAACUGGAGACUUAUAUUUGCCAAUAUAAAAUUGGUCUUGGUGGCUAUAUACAUGAUGUCACACUAUAUUUUGGAGGAUGUACUAGUUCUCCCAGGUUUUAUUCCCUGGUGAUGCAGCUUCACACACUGGGGCCCUUUUGCCAGGGAAAGAUGAAUCCAUAUAGCCCAUGGAUAGUUUAGGACAACAAAGCUACAUAACCCAGGUAAAGGUUUUAAAGGCAUGCUAAACCUGAUUUCCUUUCCCCACAUGGUUUUAUAUAUAUACAUAUGGUCGUGUGCAUAUAGAUGGUUUUACUCAGUUUUAUAAAUGGCAUUAUUUUAUCCUUAUACUGAGAUCAGGCUAGCUUUCACCCGCUAACCCGUAUACUACCCAAGUGCAUAAACAGACCGUUCUACUUUUCCUACAUAGUGAUUGAAUUAUGAAUCAACAUUUGGGCUGAAGUGGCGAGCUUUCAUCCUUUUGAAAGGCUCUAUUUCAUGUUACAAAUAUUUUUUAGACUCUUUAAUUUUAUUUUGGAUAUUGGUUUUGGCCAUGGUUGGGGGCAUGUCCCAAUCGAAUUUUAUUACUCUUUUGGAUAAAAGCUAUAUGGUACUACUAUAGGUUGGAAUAGGUGGGAUCAAUAUUAGUGUCAGCCUUGGCAUUGGAAUAACUGGAGGACUGACAUCAUCAAAUAUAAUUUCUCACUAUUCCAUCAUAUUUUACUUUAGGAUUAAUUAUAUUAUAUUUUGGAACAUUCUUGGUUAUGGCCUGGUUUAUGGAACUUAGUUAGGUAGAGUUUUAGUAUGGUUAGAUUGUUGGUGCAGGAAGGUUGGACUCGGUUGGGUCGGUCACGAUUGUGACCUUAUCCCAUCGUCUUCAUGUGAGCUAUUUUACUAUCUUGCUACAUGCUCGAAAUUCAGCCAACUCCAGGUAGGCGGUUUAAGGUUGGGUUGGGUAAUAGGGGUGGUAUCCGGUAGCGAUCGUACUUAGGUUUCCCAUUACAACAAGGCCCCUGGUCGGGUCACAUCAAGUUGGUAUCAGAUCCUAGGUUCAUGGUCAAUUGGGAGUCCAUAAAGUCAUGUCUAGUAGAGUCUUAUUUAGGGGUGUGUAGCGUUCCACACUCAUAAGGUAGAGGCUACAUGGAAUUUAGGAAUGCCUCACUUUCUUGGUAUUCUAUUCUCAAGCUUGGAGUCUCAGUCUUGGAAUCUUCUCUAAUCCUUAUUUGUUCAUCUUUCAGAUCAUGCCUCAUAAAUCUGAAACAUAAGAAAAUUCUUCUAUCCCAUCUAGGGGUAAUGCUGAAUGGGUGCAUCCUACUUUUGCGGUUCAUCUUCGAUCUCAUGGUCCUAUCCCUCAUAGUUUGUGAGUUCCACUGAUUGCUACUAGUCCUCCUUAAGGCGAUGUGACUUAUGCAAAAUCUUGUCAGUCUAUUCAUAUAAUUGCUCAGAUUGUUGCUGCUCAAGAUGAGUGGGGUAUGACUAGUACUUUGUCUGCUGAGGCCAUAAGGGUUGCCCAAUUUAUAAAGAUGGGUCCUUUCACUUUUUCUGGAGUGAAGGUGGAAGAGAAUCCAUAAGGCUUCUUAGACGAAAUGGAAAAGAUAUUUGGGGUGAUUGUAGGCUACCAAUAUGAAGGGGGUAAACUUUGUAUCUUAUCAUCUCAAAGGGGUUGUAUAUCAGUGGUAUAAAGAGUGGGACAGAGAUAAGGGUAGUAUAGAAGAAUCAGUCUUACGAGAUAUUUUUUCCAAGACCUUAUUAGAUCGUUUCUUUCCCCAAGAGUUAAGGGAAUCAAAGAUAGAAAAGUUUAUAAACCUCAGGCAAGGGAGAAUAUCUGUCAAGGAAUAUUCCUUAAAGUUUCACCAAUUGUCAAGGUAUGCUCUUGAUUUAGUUGCUAACAUACGGCGGGAAAGAAUGGGGAAGUUUACUUCUGGGUUGAAUUAGGAUUUGAUUUUGGAGAGAAAGACUACUUUGCAAAUUAAAGUUAUGGACAUCUUUAGGUUGACUGGUCAUAUGGAGCAAGUAGAGGAUAAAAAAGGAAGCAGGUGGAGUUUAGGGAUAGACAGGGUAAGAGGAACAUGUUUUCUGACUAGGGAGAUGCUCAGUCUCAGGGUUGUCGGGAUGGUGGCAAAUGGCCGAAAAAAAGAUAAGGGAUUUCUAGUUCCUACUCUUCUACUAAUGAUCCUUACCAGGUGAGCGACAAGUGUCAUCAAGAUGGUGAUAAUUUUUGGGCAUAGGGUUCCCUAUAUCAGGUAAGUGGAGAUUAGUCAGUUUCUUCAUAUCCUUCUUGUCGGUUCUAUGGUUAUCCUUAUCGGGGUUAUUACAAUAAAGGUAGGGAGAAAUGCUUCAGGUGUGUCUAUCCUGGCCAUCGUCUCAGAGAUUGUCCAGUUAAUAAAGUAGCUAUAGGGGUAAAUAAGAUUUCUGUGGCUUCAUAUUCUGCUCUUAUACCUGGUGGUAUGGCAUCUACUCAUGUUACUGCUCCUGGUUCUAGUAUUGGUCGAAACAAGUUGUAUGCUUUGGCAUCCUGACAGAAAUCUAAGGCAUCACCUGAUGUCGUUACUGGUAUACUACAACUUUUCUCUUGUUACAUAUAUUGUUUGCUUGAUCUAGGGUCAACACUCUCCUAUAUGACAUCUUAUGUGGCUUUAUUUUUUGGUUUCAAUCCAUCCUUUUUUUAUUUCCACCCCAAUAGGUAACUCGAUUACUUCUAAGAGAGUCUAUAGAGGUUAUAUGGUGUCUAUUGGUGGCAAGAAAACCUUGAUGGAUCUAUUUAAGUUGGGUAUGGUGGAUUUCAAUGUCAUUCUGGGUAUGGAUUGGUUUUACUCUUAUUACUUAUCCUUGUAUUGUCGGACUCAUAGGGUUCUCUUUAGGUUCCCCGAAGAGCCAGUUAUAGAAUGGGAGGGUAGUUAUUUAGCUCCUAGGGGGAUAUUUAUUUCUUAUCUUAGAACUAGGAGGUUAAUCUCUAAAGGUUGUCUUUAUCACUUGGUUCAAGUUAAAGAUUCUAAUUUGGAAGGUUCUUCUUUCCAGUCAGUUCCAGUGGUUAAUGAGUUUUCAAAGGGCUUUUUGGAUGAACUUCUUGGUGUUCCUCCAGAAUGGGAAAUAGAGUUUGGUAUUGAUCUUGUUUUGGACACUCAUCUAAUUUCUAUUCCUCCAUAUAGAAUGGCUCUGAUUGAGUUGAGGGAACUUAAGGAGCAACUUAAGAAUCUUCUAGAUAAGGGGUUUAUUCAACCUAGUGUAUCUCCUUGGGGUGCACCGGUGUUGUUUGUGCGCAAAAAGGAUGGUUCCCUUUGGAUGUGCAUUGAUUAUGGGUAGUUGAACAAGGUGGAGGUCAAGAACAAGUAUCCUCUUCUAAGGAUAGAUAACCUAUUUGAUCAGUUACAAGGUGCCAAGUUCUUUUCUAAGAUAGAUCUUUGGUCUGGGUACCAUUAAUUAAAGAUUAGGGAGGUGGAUAUCCCUAAGAUGGAUUUUCAUACUCAGUAUGGUCACUUUGAAUUUUUGGUGAUAUCAUUUGGAUUAACUAAUGCUUCGGUGACAUUUAUGGAUCUAAUGAACAAGCUUUUUCUUCAGUUUUUAGAUCUUUUCAUUAUUGUGUUUAUUGAUAACAUUCUGGUUUAUUCAAAGAGUAAGAUGGAUUAUUCUAAUCACCUCUAUGUGGUGUUGUUGACCUUAAAGGAACAACAGUUGUAUGCCAAGUUCUCCAAGUGUGAUGUUUGGUUAAACACUGUAAUUUUAUCAGGUUAUAUUAUUUCUAGUGAGGGGAUCAUGGUGGAUCUGUAAAAGGUUAUUGUGAUGAAGAGGUGGCCAAGACCCAUGACUCCAUCCGAUAUUUGAAGCUUCUUGGGUUUAGCCGAGUAUUAUAGGUGGUUUGUGGAAAGGUUUUCAUCGAUAGUUGCUUCUUUGACUAAGUUAACUCAUAAGAAUGUCAAGUUUUCUUGGUUAGAUACUUGUGAAGGGAGUUUCAAUAAGUUAAAGGAUAAGUUGACUUCAGCUUUAAUUUUGACUUUGUUGGAAGACAAUGAUGAUUUUAUAGUUUAUUGUGAUGCAUCUUGAGUGAGGCUUAGUUAUGUGUUGAUGCUGCAUGGGAAGGUGAUUACCUAUGCUUCUAGGCAGUUGAAGGUACACAAGAGAAACUAUACUACUAAUGAUUUAAAGCUAUUGGCGGUUGUGUUUUCUUUAAAACUAUGGUGGCAUUAUUUGUAUGGUGUGCACGUGGAUAUCUUUUCUGAUUAUAAGAGUCUACAGUAUGUGUUCACUCAUAAAGAUCUUAAUAUCAGGCAGAAAAGAUGGCUUGAGCUUCUCAAGAACUAUGAUAUGAGUCUUCACUACCACCCAGGUAAGGCUAACAUAGUUGCUGAUGCUCUUAGCUGGUUAUCCAUGGGGAGUUUGACUCAUGUAGAUAAAAGAAAGUGGGAAUUAGUAAAGUCUAUUCACCGCUUGGCUAAUCUUGGAGUUUUUCUCUUAGACUCCAAGGAUGGUGGUGUGAUGGUGCAAAAAGUGGUUCGAUCAUCUCUUGGUAAUGAGAUUAAGGAGAAGAAAGUGCUAGAUCCUAUCUUGAUGAAAAUCAAGGGUGACAUUAGUGGGCAAAAGGUAGUGGUGUUUGAGAUUGAUGGUGAUGGUACUUUAUGGUACCAAGGGAGGUUAUGGGUUAUUGAUGUUGACGGAUUGCAACAAAGGAUUUUGGCUGAGGUACAUGAAUCGCUCUAUGUUGUUCAUCCUAGCUCGACUAAGAUGUAUCAUGAUAUCAAAGAGAUCUAUUGGUUGAAUGGUAUGAAGAAAGAUGUGGUUAAUUUUGUGGCUAAGUGCAUGGUGUGUCAACAGGUUAAGGUUGAGCACAUGAGGCCAGGAGGGUUGUAUUAAGAAAUUUAUUUUCUCAAGUGGAAAUGGGAAGUGAUAACAUAGACUUCGUUACCCAUCUUUCUUGGUCUCAAAAUCAAUAUGAUUCAAUUUGUGUCAUCGUGGAUAUAAUAACCAAGUCUGCUCACUUUUUGCCAGUGCAGACUACCUUCUCGGUGGAGGAUUAUGCAAAGUUGUAUCUUCAGGAGAUUGUGAAGAUGCAUGUGGUGCCUAUUUCAAUUAUUUAUGAUCGUGGAAUGCAAUUUACAUUUCACUUCUAGCGAUCUUUUCAAAAAGGGUUGGGGACUAAGGCUAGUUUGAGUACUGCUUUCCACUCGCAGAUGGAUGGGCAAGCGGAAAGAACUAUUCAGACAUUGGGGGAUGUCCUUUGGGCUUGUGUGAUUGAUUAUUGAAGCAAUUGGGUUGAGUAUCUGCCUUUGGUGGAUUUUGCUUACAAUAAUAACUAUUAUUCUAGUAUUGGGUUGGCCCCUUUUGAGGCAUUGUAUGGUAGGAGGUGUAGAUCACCUAGUGGUUGGUUUGAGCUUGGUGAGAAUAAUAUGUUUGGUCUCGACUUUAUUUACCAGGCUAUGAGAAGGUGAAGUUGAUUCGGGAGAGGCUUAAGGAUGCCCAAAGUCACCAAAAGUCCUAUACAGAUGUUAGGCGUAGAGACUUGGAGUUUGAGGUUGGAGACAAGGCUUUUCUCAAGGUAUCUCCUAUGAAGGGAGUGGUGUGGUUUGGUAAGAAGGAGAAGCUCAAUCCCCGGUAUGUUGGACCUUAUGAGGUUUUACGGAGAGUUGGUAAUGUUGCUUAUGAGCUGGAGUUUCCUUCUAGCUUAAGCUUGGUUCAUCCGAUCUUUUCUGUUUCCAUGUUGAGGAAGUGAGUUGAUGAUCCUUCUUUGGUGGUUCCUUUGGAAGGAUUGGGUAUCAUUGAUUCUUUGUCUUAUGAAGAAAUCCCGGUUGAGAUCUUAGAUAGGCAAGUUUGUUGGCUGUAGACCAAGGAUGUAGCUUUGGUUAAGGUUCUUUGGUAGAACCAUACGGUAGAAGUUAAAUGAAAAGCGGAAGAGGACAUAAAGUCUAAAUAUCCGCAUUUGUUUUCUUCUCCUAGGAUUUGUGCGGAAGGUAUGUGUCUUCAACACAUCUUUAUUUUCUGAGUUUCUUAAAGGAAAGAUUAAUAUCUUUGCCUUUUGUUUUCAAACUUUGUUAAAGAUUGGGAAUAUAUUUGAUAAUGCAAAUGACUCGUGCGUGUGGUUAUCCCUACCUUGUCCGUCAUUCGGGGAUGAAUGUUCCUAGUGGGGAAGACUGAAACACCCUAGUUUUUGGACCUUAGAAAAUUUUCUGGAAUUCUAAUCUCUAGACCCAAUAUGACUCAUGGGUACGAGCCGUAUGUUGGGGUCCUGAUGAUAUGGUGCAGCCGUAUGCUAACUAGUGUUGGUUGGUGGGAUGGAUUUUGGUUACUAGAUGGAUAUAACUUAGUGGUAUGACUUGUAUUAGUGGGACGGAUCAUUUGGUUACUUAAAUUAAUCUUAUUCUUUGAUACUUAACUUGGAUCUGAGUACGACUGGCUGACCAUGAGCUGUAAGCCAGGGUAUGAGUCGUACCAAGGACGAGUAUAGUGGACAGUGCCUAAAUCUACCUUGGGCUUAAAUCUGCCAGGGGUACAAAUGAAGGGUACGGAUCAUAUACUUUGGAUACGACUUUGUUGGAUGAAUCAUAUGUUGGAAAGUGUUGGAUCCAAAGGUUGAGGCUCAAGAUAUGAGUAGAGGGUACCACUUGUAUAGGAGGGUAUGACUCGUGAGGGUCAUUCGUACCCCUAUGACAGGAUUUUGUGCAACUUAAGUGGGGGUAUUCUGGAUAUUUCCCCACUUAUCCUAAUAAGGUCCCAUUUCUUCUAAUCUACUUGGGAUGAUAUUUACCCUAUUAUUCUAUUCAUUAACACGUAGAAACUUUUUGAAACACUAUAAUUUUCUCAUAAGCUUUUGGGCAAGGGAAGCUAGGUUUUCAAUUAGAGAAUUAAUUUGGGGCUUGUCUUGGUGAUUCCUUUCCAUCAUCAUCUUGGUUUAAGGCAUGUUCUCUUCCCUCAUUGUUAGUUCUAACUAGAAGCAUGUUUUUUAUGAAUGUUUUCUUGACUUCAUUGGUUGUAUGAUUUUGGGUUUCUAAUAUGAUUUGGGGUUUUUGAUAUUAAAUGGUUGAUUAUGUCUUCCUAUGGUUUUAAUUAUGCUUCAUGUGUAUUAUUGGUGGUUUUGGUUAAUUGGAUUACAUGGGAAUGGUUUAGUGGUAAUUGAAAUUGGUUUUGGUCAUUAUGCCCCCAAUGUGUGUGACAAAAUGCAUUUAGUAAUGUUUUCAUUUUAUUGAGUAUUUUAAUAGAACUCUUGCGUGUUUUAAAACAUGAUAAAGGAAUUAUGCAUGGUUUAAGUGGCUUGUAAAGGUAAAUGGCUAAAUAGUUAUGCUUGUGGUGUACAUGGAAUCCCCUAAGUGGUUUAAUAUGGUAAUUGGAAAGGGCACUUGAAAGUCCCCUUAAAUCUAUAAAUAGUUAGCUAUGGAUGAUACUUGCAAGUAAAGAUUGGUAUGAUGAUACCAAUAUUAAUGACCUUGGUUAAUAACUGGUUAAUGGUUUGGUUAUUUGGAAAAUGGUUUUAAUUAGGCAUAACUGGAAUGAUAUGUAUAAAACUCGUGGAAGGUGGAGGUCCCAGAGAGAGCAAAACUGGAAACUCAUAUUUGUCAAUAUGAAGUUGGCCUUGGUGACUGUGUGCAUGAUGUCACACUAUAUUUUGGGGGAUGUGCUAGUCAUCCCAGAUUUGAUUCCCUGGUUGUAUGUCUUCACGCACUAAGGUACUUUCAGCAGGGGGAGCUGAACCCAUAUGUCCUAUGGGUGGUCUAGGACGGCAAAGCUACACAACCCAGGUAAAGGUUUUAAAGGUAUUCUAAACCUGAUUCCCUUUUCUGACAUUGUUAUAUACAUAUAUACGCAUGGGUGUGUGCGUAUGGAUGGUUUUACUUGAUUUUAUAAAUGGCAUUAUUUUAUCCUUAGCCUGAGAUCAUGCUAGUGUUCACCCGUUAAUCCAUCAACUGCGGCUGUAUCCCCAUGCUAUGCAGGAAUCGACCGUUCUAGUCCUCUUACAUAGUGAUUGACUCGGGAAUCAAUAUUUGGAUUGAAGUGGUGAGCUUUCAUCCUUUUGGGAGCUCUAUUUCAUGUUACAAACAUUUUUUAGACACUUUGAUUUUAUUUUGGAUAGUGGUUUUGGCCAUGGUUGGGGACAUGUCCCAACCAGAUUUUAUUACUAUUUUUUUUAGAGGCUUCGUGGUUCUGCUAUAGGUUAGAAUGGGCAGGAUUGGUAUUGGUGUCAACCUUGGCAUUGGAAUAAGCUCGAGGGCUAACAUCACCGGACAUAAUUUCUCACUGUUCCAUCAUCUUUCAUUUUGGGAUUAAUUAUAUUAUGUUGUGGAACAUCCUUGGUUAUGGCCCGAUUUAUGGCCCAUGUCUUGGUAUUGGCUUGGUAUGGUUGGAUUGUUAGUGCAGAAAGGCUGGACUCAGUAUGGUCAGUUAUAGUUAUGACCUUAUACCAGAGUCUUCAUGUAAGAUGUUGCACUAUCUUGCUACUUGCUCAAAAUUCAGCCUACUCCGGGCAGGCGGCUGGAGGUUGGGUUGGGUAACGGGGGUGGUCUCCGUCCCGGUCGGACUUAGGAAGCCCAUUACAAUAAUUCCCCCAGCUGGAUCGCAUCAUUAAAGGUGGUGAAAAUUAGGUUGAAUAGAGAGGAGUCUAAUGUAAAGUAUGAUGUAUUAAAGCGCUUAGGGAAGACAACCAUUGUUACUGAAUAGAAUAGUUCCUACCCAUCCAUUAUUAUAACCCUUAAAGUCCUACUUAAUAUUCAGCGUUAAUAUUCUGAUAUAGAGUAAUACACUAAGGGAAAACUUAUGUUUCAUCUUAUGUGUCAUAUGAAUUCCUUGUGAGAGUGAGCAAAAUUUGAAUCUUACACACAUGUUUGUGAUGAAUUACAUAUUUGAGAGUGAAUCUAGAUGACUUUCUGUGGUAAGGGCACAUGUUUGAUGAUGAUUAGGUUAUUUGUAUGAUCUCUUUGUGGAGUACUAUGCAUCAGUGUGCCAACUUGGUAGAGUUAAUUUUAGAGGUUAGGAAUAUUUGAAGUAGUGUUCAUGAGUUUUUUAUUUGUAAUAUAACUUGCUUAAUGGGGAACUUGCUAUUCACAUAGUCGUUGUAGUUCUAGCUUGAGUAUCUUAGUUGUAGUAGUGCUUUUAGAGUGUUCCUUGAUGAUUCUUGAUGUAAAGGAUUUCUUGGAGGAAGAACAAGUCCCUAAGUGUGGGGUGAUGAUCUUAGGCGUAUUUAUACUCCUGAAUGUCAUUAUCUAUUCACAUUUAUCUUAGUUUCGAGGACUUCUUUAUGUGAUUAAUGACUUAUUAAGGGUUUAAUUGUGUAUUUAUAUGUUUAAUAACAUGUUUAGAGUGUUUAAGUUUCAAUUGAAACACGUUAAGAGUCAAAAAGAUCAAAUAGAGUUUAGGCGAGGAAACUAGUUACGCUAGCUUGAACUAUGCUAGGUUCUAGUGUACUUUAAUGAACUCUAUUGUGUUGUAUGAACUAAUUUUUGUUAUUUUAUGUUUUAGGAGACGAAUUUAGGUGAUUUGUAAGAUAAUUGAAGCCUACAAAUAAGUCCUAAGAAGUGGUAAAACAAGGAUCGAACGCACGACGAGAUAUGAUCCAAAUAGAGCAAAAUCGGGCACUUGAGAGUACCCCUUGCACCACACACCCCAUGGUAGGAUAGGGGUUCAUCACGACCCCUAGAGUGACCCCUUAAUUUAUUGUCCUCGUGUUGGGUGUGUUCCACAAUCCCAAAAGCAAAUUGGAGGCCUCGCGACGUGAGACAUCCUCUGGGGCGCCCAAAUCUUGAUUUUAAGCCUCAUAAGUGAGGGACAAUGUUGUCAAUUGAUAUAUUUCGUGUUGAGAUACCAAAGGACAACAUAAAACACUAUAAUUGAAUCAAUUAGUCACAAUCUCAUUUCAUCUUUGGAGCAAUACACGGAUUGGAGAGGAGACAAGCAAGCUAGGGGCUCAAACUAGGGUUCUUUGUUCUUAAAUACUUUCUUGUAGUUUUACUUAAUGAACUCAUCUAUGAUGAUUCUUUGUAAGAUUAUGAGUGGAUAAAAAACCUUAUUAUAGGUUUGAGUCUACUAACAUGAUUGUUUAAUUGUGGUUUAUAGUUAGUUUAGAUGUUUAUCAAGUAUGUGAUUGUUCUUAUGUUCUUGUUUUACUAUUCUAAAGUGCCAUGAACUUUAGCAUAAAUUAUGUCCCUAAAAUGAAUUGACCGUAGGAGUUGAGGGAUUGAAUGAAUAAUGUAAGGAGUGUGAACCAUAUCUUCAUUUAUUAGAAUCUAUUGUUAAAGCAUUAUUUGUGUUUAGGAUAGAGUUAUACCUAAACAUCUCACUUGGUUAAUGGAAUGGGAUGAUAGUUUAAUGCAUCUAAGUUAAAGACUCACAUCCUCUCUCAACAAUGUAGCUGUGAGAUUAAUUAGGGUAGAUGACUUAUAGGAUGACCAUUCCAAAGUUAUAAUAUCAACCCCGUAAACCAACAAUCAUGAUAAACACCAACACCGUCUAUAAAUCAUAGUUAUGCAUGAUAAUGUAGUAAUGUUCCAAUCCCUGAACUCUUUGUCUAUUGUUUACAAUACAAAUUUCAUACUAUUGCUCAUUUUUUCUAUUUAGUUUAUAAUUACCAAACUUAAUUUCUUAAUUGGUUACACUCGCACUUAUUUAAUCUCUUUAGUAACACUAGAAUCAGAUAGUUUUCUAAUCACCAAGUCCCUAUGGGAUGGAUAUUCGGCUCAUAAGAGUUACUUUACUACUUGGGUGAUCACGUACACUUGUGUGUUCGCUAGAAUGCAGCAAUGUUCUAAGUUCACUCUAUAUUGGUCCUGACAGUUUGGGUGACGGUUCAUUAGUGUCCUAGAGAGUCAUCAGCUAAGUUGUCACGUGACUUCGAUUGAGCAUCCAUUAUGUAUAUGCUUUAGUUAUUGACGUGACAAUUUGACAAGGUUCUGAUGGUUUGUCAGACAAGCCUUUACCCAUCUUUCAGCAUAAUUUCAUUCUUUUUGUCCUUAGCUCAAUUUUCUGUAAUUUAAACACUGAAGAACAUCAAAACCAUAAAUGUUUACCCAAAAAAUCCUAAUUAUCCUUCAUUAAAAGCAUCAAAAGUUCCAUUAUUAACUGGCACAUCAACGACCCAAAACAAUGAGACUAUAUUGGGAACCCUAGCUACAUAACAAGGCAUUUCUUAAGAGGAAGAAAGAUCGUCCCAUACCGACUAAGAUAUGAUCUCUCACUAUUGGACAAAUAGAAGGACAUAAUGUUUAGGGAAUUAGGAGGUACCACUACCCCUAUCAAGACAUAUCAAACACAUGUAUUCGAUAAAUAAACACCCCUCCCUUAUUACAAGAAAUAGAUUUUUUUCUCAUAAUUACCCUUUAAGUAAUAGAAAUAUCUUUAUUAUCAUACUUAAGUAUUAGCAUUUUCCUUUAGUUGUUUACUAUUUUCUCUUUAUGAUACUCGAGCUCGAUCAUAUUUGUAUUCUUGACUGAUAUGAUCUAACUAUGCCCACGCUAUGAGAUUUGCUCCUAAUCUCUAUUUGUCUAAUUUAUUUUGAUUUUUUAUUUGUUAUUUACUUUUCCGUAAAUAUUUACCACUAAUCCAAAGCUAAGACCGUAACACAAGCUCCUGAAUCACAAAUAAAUUCAAAUAUACCAAAAAUAAGGUAACUAGUUUGGCACCCUUCGUGGGGCCAGAUCAGCUGUGUGGUUUUCAACUUUGUCACCACUAAUUAGUUUUUGAAUUGUGUUUUUCUUUUUAGGGAAGUAGAUCAUGGCUGCCCACUUUGGAAACACCGAGUUCAGGGGUGAAGCAGGGACUGCAUCAAUGGGACUUACCUGGUGAGACUAAGCAUUUAGAGAUAGAGAAGAGACCCUAGCAUUAUCACAAAGAUUGGUAACCAGUCUAUUAAAGAAAAAAACCCUAUUAUUUAAGGUGAAGAAGCCAUGACAGGGCAAUGAUUUUAGGAUGAUUAUUGGGAAUAACAAUCUAGAUUCGCUAGUGAUAUCGAUGAAUGUAGACGAAUGCAAUGUAAAAAGGGUGAUGGUUGACCUGAGAGCUCUUCCAAAAUCAUUCACAAAGGAGUUUACAACUAGAUGGAGUCGAGUGCCACCAUACAAACCACGAUCGAAGCCCUAGUUGGGUUUAACAUGAAAUCAAGGUAAUUAGUGGUGAGGUAACAUUAGUGUCCAUAGUAAGUGUUGUAAAAAGCCCACUAUAUUUUAUAUUAUUGAUGGAGACAUAAGCUACACCAUCAUACUUGGAAGGUCAUGGAUUCAUGACAAAAAAUUCAUCUCAUCGAUAUACCACCGACUGAUUAAGUUUUCCAUCCCGUAUGGUGGAAAACAAAUAAGGAGGACCUGGCUCCCCUUGUGGAAGCAUUCAUAACUCAGUUGGCAAACCAAAAGUAGUCCUUUGGAUGAAAGCACCGGACAAACUUUUGGAGCCAUAAUCUGAGAAGAUGAAGUGGUAUGAGACUAUAGAGUCUAUUACAUCUUCGAUGAAAGGGACACUAUGAAUAGUAUUGUGGAAGAGCUCAAUAAAGUUUCCUUUUUAUUCUUGAUUACCUCAAGAAAAAAAUGUACUUGGGUUUGGGACAUAGUCCAGAGUCCAAAGCUGCUUACCUUAAUUUCCUAUAUGAUAAUUCCAACUAUUUUUCUUGGUCCCACCUUGAUAUUAUAGGUAUCUCUCCCAAGGUGGCAAUGCCUAAGCUUGGCAUAAACCCUGAUGUAAAGUCACUACAAUAAAGACGAUGGCCUAUGUCCAAAGUGAAUAACAAGUUCCUCAAGAGAGAGGUGGAUUGGUACUUAGGAUAGGUUUGGUAUGAGAAGUCAAGUAUCCCUCUUGGUUGGCGAAUGUUAUGGUGGUACCUAAGAAAUUAGGUAAGUUUAUAAGAGGCAUAGAUUUUAAAGAUAUGAACAAAACAUGCCCACAUGACUUCUUCCCCAUCCUAAACAUUGCUCAUAUGAUCAAUUCUAUAAUCAUAUGACCAAUGCUAUGAUCAGACAUGAAUAAUAAGCUUCCCUGAUGCAUAUUGCAGAUAUAACUAGAUCCAAAUAGAUAUGAAACAUCAAGAGAAAAUGUCCUUUCAAACUAACAAUGGUAAUUUUUGUUAUAAUGCGAUACCAUUUGACCCAAAAAAGGCGAGUAUGACUUACCAACAUUUAGUCAACCACAUAUUUGAAUAUCAUAUAGAAAAAUAAUGGAGGUAUAUAUUAAUACAUGCUCGUAAAAUUGCUAGAGACCUGGAAUCACCAAACGUAUCUCAGGAGGUAUUCACAAUAUUUAGAAAGUAAACGUGAAGCUAAAUUUUGAAAAGCAUGAAUUUGUGUAGGAUUAAGUAAGUUUUUAUUUUUCCUCAUGUCAAAUCAAGGAAUAGAGGUAAACCCAAAUAAAAUCCAUGCCAUCAAAAACAUACCAGAACAAAGGAUUAGGCCUUAAAUAGGAAGGGCCAUAUCGAAUAACCGACAUAGCUAGAAAAAGAUCCUAUCAACUGGCUGACCUUCAAGAAAACUACACAACAAUUGGGAUAUAUGUCACUUAAGGAGAUACUAAUUCUGAUCAAGAAACCUAUGCCAAGGCCUAUACUUUUUUCCUCUUAGAUCGGUCUCUUUUUUCUUUUAAGGUUUUUUGUUCAAUAAGGUUUUUAAUGAAGUAGGAUUCAAAAAGAACCCCCAAGGUAAAAUUUUUGAGGGAAAUAUGAAAUAGAAAUGACUAAGCAUAACUGAGAAUGCUAUAGCAAGCGUAUAGAAUGCUUACUAUUUACUCUUUUGUAAUUCAAUAUUCGGGCACGAUUAAAUGAAAAAGUUAUUAUUAUUUUUGUGCAUAUCAUGAUUGAAACAUAAUAGAAAGGUCUUCAAAUUGCCCAAAAGUUUUGACAUUCAAAGUAUUAGGAGACAUCCUAACUUGCAAAAAUGACACAGACAAAAAUCACACCAAAAAAGGUGUCAGCUGCAACCAACCUAUAAAAAGCAUGCUAGAAGACAAUAUAUAUGUAUGUAUAUAUGUAUGUAUGUAUAUAAUCAUGUGAUGCAUACAAUGAAGUAUAUAGGGCCCAACUGCCUGGUUCUUCGAUUCACUAUGCUUUUUAGAUGUAGAACCCUGCCUCCCGAAUAAAAGAAUGGAUUUAGUGGGACUUCCAUAAUAAAAAUUGAUUAGUGUCCACAACCAACCAUCAAAUAUGAGACAAUUUAGUAAUGGAUUUCAUUGCAAAACAAGCUAUCUACGCAAGCAAUAUUAAAUAUAAUGCUCAUCACCAUCGCACAAAAUAACAGUAAUAAUAAAAGAGAAGAGAAAUGACAAGAUAGCUUGAAUAGCACAACAUAACAUAAAUCCAGUACGACAAACUCUCAAAAAUAAAAUAAUGAAAGAAGACCCUAAGAUAGUUCAAAUUCUAGGAAAUAAAGAAAUAAAUAUUGGAAUGGACACAGGUUUCAGGUACCCUAGCCUAAGAGCCUGAUGCUUCUUCAAAUUGCCUCCGAAGGACGAGUCGUCUAGGGAAGAGGCCACUUCCGUAGGGUUGAAGGGUGAACCAAUAUUGAUAUGGUUAGCUGCUCAAACAUUUUAAAAUUCUUUCUCAAUCAAUAAAGGUUUGGCUAGAACCUUCUCAUGGAUACCCAACUUUUACACCCAAAUCUCUUCAUGACGGAUGCUCACAAAAUAGUCCAUCAUGGAUGAGCAUCGAGCCUAGAUCUUCUCUAACUUUCCUCGAAUGAACUUAACCUUCUCCAAUUUUUAGUAAAAGGUAUACUUUAACCAACCGACAAAUUUUACCUCCCCUAGAGAAGCUGUACUUCAGCCUGAGCUAUCACUCCUUCAACAAAUUUCUCUUUCAAAUGGGUGCACAGUUGUGAAUAAUUAUGAAAGUCCUGAUCAGUUAUUGUCUCUGCACUCUUGACUCUAUUAGAAAGAUUUUUAACUUUGAGGUUUAACUUUGCUUGUGUCUCCUUAUCUACAAAAGAGCAAUUCUUUGAGUUGCAAACCUUUUUUCUAAGGCAGUAAUCGUCUCCUUAAGUUUCCUCAUAUUUAUAUCCACCUAUUCUUAAGAAAGAGAUUCACACAUAUAAGGAUAAGCCCACCACAAAUAAAGAAAUGGAGAGAGAAAAAUUUAUAAAGAGUUUGACAAGCUCACCUGCGACAAAGACCUGGUGAUGCCCUUGAAAAGAGUCCUACGGGAGUAAAAAGCUCCAUACUUCCUCUACAGGGAAGUAAUCUGCCAAGUGAGUUAUGCAUCCCACUGGGGUCCUAUCAAAUUAGUAGAACUAGGGACUACAGGCAUAUCUGAAUAACUACCUCAUUGAUUCCAUCUGCAAGACAUGGAUCAAUAUGAGGCGGAAAGGGAUGAGACACCAAGGAUUGGUAUUUUGAGGCAAUAACUUUAGGAACAUCCAUCUAGGACGUACUCCCUCUAGUAGAGAAGAGACCCACUCAACUAUUACCUCUUAUUUGAGGAUAAAAAUCUCAUAUC